This 50599-nucleotide long non-coding RNA is filed under the name Eucalyptus grandis. Its description in RNAcentral is "long non-coding RNA (EGRA_LNC000090)". Lineage: Eukaryota; Viridiplantae; Streptophyta; Magnoliopsida; Myrtales; Myrtaceae. The record is from RNAcentral.
CCUGCCAAAAACGAGAAGAGGGCCAGAACAGAAAGUGAUAUUUCAGGUAUGAGAAUUUGUGAACCACUGCAAGAAACUAUUUUUGUGUAGAACGGCAUCAAAGUAUCCCACCAAAAGUUAAAGCUAGUAAAUGUGAAUGAAACCAUUUGAAGAACGCACAGGGAGCUGAAGAAUGAGGAAGAAGAUGAACAAGGAAUAAACUCAUAAGACGAUAUACUAAAUGGCGAGUGAAGAUAACAAAUUAUGGGUUUGAUACCAGUUAAAAGGAUCCAAGCCAAAAGCUUAAACAAGUAGGUGAAAGAGAUCAAGCUAAACCUCAACCACAGAUACGUCAAGAAUGCUUGUGAGAUGUCUAGGCAAUGAACGACUGGUGCUAUUCUUUUGAGUUAUAAUUGAAACGGAAGUAGAUAACCUGCAUCUGUUGAAUGACGGCUAAAUCAAACAUCCACAAUCCCAGUCGAGAUGCCGCCACUCCACCCAUCAGCAUAUAGGCAGCUAUUAUGCUGUUUUGGACCCAUAUUGACCCAACACAUAGAAGCAGUAAAGUCCACUGCAAUAGUUUCACAUAAUGCAGAGUUCAGUUGUUUUUCACUGAUCAGUACACCCAAAAAAGUCCCAUACAAGUUGGUACUCGAAAAAUAUACCUGGGACCAGAUGGACCAGAGCCCAGUUCAGAGCGUGGAAAUAUCAAGAACCUCGAUUGAUCACCCCGUUUUUUACCCUUUUAGAGGAAAGCUAAACGUCAAUAGUAGUAGAUUAUAGGUAAGUCCUGUAAACUAAUGCGAAAGAAAUGAACUUUGAGGGUCCGUCAGUUUCCAGUGUGUUACCUGAGAACUGUAAAAUACAACAAAGCUAGCACAAUUCCAGGAAGCACAACUUCUUGCUCAAAGUACACUCUCCAAGCACUUACUAGGGGCAGAUUUGCAAUUUUCUCACCAAGACUUCUCUUUCGGCUUUUUUCUGCAUUUGCUGGAUGAUCAUCAUCUGGAACAGACAAGCUCUCUGUCAGUUCAGCAGGAAAAGGUUUCUGGGUUCUUUGUCGGUUUCGCUCAGCUAGAGCAGGAAUCCCCUGAUAUACUGACAUGAAAAGCCAGUACUCCGGCCAAACACUGAUGGUGCUCAAAACUGCCAAAGUCUGAUACAACAGCGGCAAACAACUUGCAGAUCAGAUCAAUCAGUCUUAUAACUGAAUUCAUCCGAGUAAGGAGUAUAGGGGCUUGGCCUUCCGACAUCACCACCACCCUGCAUUUAGAGGCACAUUAAAAGCAAAUUUGAAAAGGAAAAAAAAAGAAGAGAGAGAGAACAGUAUGCCUAUGGGAUGCUGGUAUUCAAGCUCAAUACUAUUACCAUUCUCUUUCAAUCAAGAUUGUUCCAGCAAGAGUGGAAAGCACGCCAACAGCUCCAGAAACAUUGGUCAAAAGGAUGAGCAAGACAAAAGCUUGAACACUUGUGGACUUCAAAUCUGGGUAGGCUAGCAAACCCAGAACCGUUCCUCCAGCAAAUAUGAAUGAAAAAUUCUGUGUCACGAGCCAAAGCUGGAGAACCUGCAACAAAUAUUUGACCCUCCUUGAAUGUAAAAUCGCACAGUUAUCAUAUUAAAAUAAACUGGUAUACUGUAAAAUGCGGAGCUAAAGUCCUGUUCAAUGUUUUCUUAGGUGCUGUAGUACAUGAAGAAUUGUAAGUCCAUCAGACCUUGACAUAACUCAGUCUAUCCACCCACUACCCAAUUAUCGGGCUGAACAAAGGCAGUGGAGGCAUUUUCCACCACUCCAUAGACAGCGGCCAACAGUAAAGAGUCUGGCCAAAUGUUGAUCAGGUAUAAGGCCACAGAGAAAUCCCACAUCCUGCAAGACAAGCAGGCAUGAAAGAUACUUCAUUUCCAAAUGGAGAGGGUAUCAAGAGAGAAGAUAAUCUGAGAAUAAAGCCGUUAGUUUAUUGAGAAUUGCCACACUUAUAUGGUCAAUUCAAGUAAAAGACUGACAUGAAAUUUAAUUGGCCAUGGGACCAAUUUUCCUAAUGAACGGCAUAAGACAGUUUUCACAGUUCGUUGAUGAACUGGGGCACAUUGAUGUUUCCACUAGCAAUCGUGUACCAUUUAUGAAUCAAUGUAUAGCAGAAAACAAGAGAUGUUAUCCUGUAACGUGAGUACUACUGAAAGGAAGCUAGGAUGUUCUCUUCAUCAUUCUUCCUAUCACUCUUUACCAGGUAAGUUCAGGAUUUGUACCAAGAAUUGGUAAUUUUUCGUUGGAACAAGAAUUUACAUCCCAUCAACACUUACUACAACUAGGACAACAAACUUGUGUAUUUUCCCACUAAACAGGGAGUAACCUCUCGUUUGGCGACUAGAAAGCAUUUCUUUGGUUGAAGUGAUUAGGCUACAUAGUCUAAACAGCAAAACCUUCAAUCGAAUCCAAAAACUUUGAUGUUCCAGUGACAUUAUAUCAGGCACGGAGGAGAAGGAUGGAUAUGUGAAGACACCAAUUGGGACAAUUUGAAAUGAUGGAAAGGUUUUGUUAUAUUCAAAAUAGGAAUGAUACAGAGAGUACGCAAACACGCUCGUAUAAAAGACUGAGAAGAGCACAUCAUCAUGUCCUGAGGAGAGCAUACUCAGAACAGCAACAGAACUUUUAGGAGAGUUGAACCAAAGUAAAUAGCACAGAACCUGGCACCCCAUCUGGCCAGGAAGUGGCCCGAGUACAAAUAUUUGGUGAGGUGCAAUGGGGAAGAGGGCUGUGGAGAAGACGUUUCAUGGUCGAGGAGCGGCUCCCUCAUCAUCUCUAUGGUAGGCAGUACUGAUCGAAUAAAAUAGCUGAAGCGUUGAUCUUGACGUUUACAGGCGCAUGAAUAUGAUGAUAACUAGACCCAUCAAAUGAUUGGGUAGGGUCGAGUUUGGGUCGGGUUGAAAAUGGGUCGACCCAUAUUUAACCCAUUUAACCCAUUUUGACUCAUAUUGAUGUAAUGUAAAUCAAGUGACCCAUACUCGACUCGAUCUGUAUUGCUAAAACCUAUUAAUAUUUUAAGAAAACACACUUCUAUUAUAUGCUAAUUAGAUUAAAACUUCAAAUUAAAUUAAAAAUAGUACAUAAAAUAAUUUUUUAAAAAACCUAUAAAUUGAAAUAUUUAUAAAAAAAAAUUAGACUAUGCACAUGCUUUUCUUAUUUGAAGUGAACAUAUCAUUGAAUAACUAAAAACUGUAACACGAAAUUUUUUUAACUAAGCCUAAAAAAGCUCAUUUUUAUGAUUUUUUUUUAUAAUUCUUUCUAAAAUAAUUUUUAAAAAUCGAUUUUUUAUUUUUUAAAUAUAAAAUUUUAAUUAUUUUUUAAAAUAUAAUUUUUAAUUUUUAAUAAUUAUUUUUUCUUUUUCUCUUUUCUUUUUUCUUCUUCUUCGCCCGGUCGUCGUCCGGCGAGGCUUGCUAGUCGUCGGCAACCUACCAGCGAGCUCGAGCCUCGCUUGGCCUGUUGCUGGCCAGUGGCUAAGGAAUGAAGAAAAAGAAAGAAAAAAGAAAAAGAAAAAAGAAAAGAAAAAAUUGAAAUAUGAAAAAUAAUUAUAAUUUCAAUUUUUUUUUUUUAUAAAAAAACAUUUUUAUAAAUUUAAAAAAUGACAUGGGUUUAAAGUGGGUUUCCUAAUAAUCCAUUUAUACCCAUUUCUUUUUGUGUUUUACUUUCUUAAACCCAUUUCUGACCCAUAUUUAACUUUCACGUGACUCAUAUAUGAUCCAUUUAACCAAAAAAAAAAAAAAAAAACUUAAAAUGGGUCAUAAUAUGGGUUUAUGACCCAUUUUGCCAACUCUAAUGAUAACUGGUGUAGGUUGUCUCUCCAAGCCUUAACAACUAGUGGAGGUGUCAACUGAUUUUGUCCUUUCCUGGUAGGGAAGACAGAACCCUAGAAAAGUCAAUUAGAGAGUUGGUUUUUUGAAAGGGUCAUUUAGGUUACAUCCAUGGAUGUGUAAUUGUAUAAACUAAGAUUAUGUCUGGUCAUUUGAAUUUCAUUUGUAGAUAGGAUAUGAUUGAAUAAGAUAAGAUGUAAAAUUUAAAAAUUUUACUAUAUCAUCUCUACUAUUUAGUGAAUCGUAAUAAUAAAACUGGAUAUUUGCAUAUCCUAUCAUGUCCAUUGUUUAAUAAAUCGCAGUAAUAAAAUCGAAUAUUUGUAUAUCCCACCAUGUCCAUUAUUUGGUAAGACUGACAUAUUUAUAUAAAUGAAUCUAAAAAUUACAUAAACGGAGACAGUAAGAAUUCAUUACUAUUCUCUUGCAUUUUCCAUUUAUAUUUGCUGCCUCUUUUCUUCUUUAAUUUUUUCCGCCCCUUCCAUUAUUCUCAAAUAAAAUUUAAUUAAAUAAUAUAACUAUAAUAAUAUACCUAAAAUGAGUAAUAAAUAUAAAUACUAAAUAUAUAUUGCAUUUGUAUUAAAAAAUAGAAAGACAUUCAAAUACAUAAAUAAGAUAGGAAUAAAUAAAAACGAAAUUGUUGUUAUUUUAUUAUUAUUUUGAAUUUUUUAUAGUAAAAUAUUAUUUUAAUUAUUAAUUUAAGAAAUUUGUUAUUCGAUAAAGAUAACUUUUGUAUUAUGGAUAUUUGAAAUCCUAUUCAUUUUUAUCUCACUUUUCAUAUAAUAUAUUUUUUCUCCGAACUAUAUAAUUAUUAUAUUGAACUUUAUCCUAUUUUGGGUAGAAACCAAACAUAAGAUAGGAUAAAUGUUAUAUUGGCUAAGGCUGCGCAUGACAACGCUUCUAUUCCCGGGAAUAGUUUUUUUUUUUUUUUUUUUCAGAAAUAGUUCUUUUCUAUUUCUGUUCCGGGGAACAAUUUCUAAGUAAAAGAACCCGUUUGGUAAGGACACAAAAUUUCUACUCUUGGAAUAGAAAAAGAAUAGAAAUGCGUUUGGUAACGAAACAAUUUCUUUUUUGUAUUUAUUCAUUUUUUAUUUUUGCUGACGGAUCGCCGCCACUGCCGCCGCCACCGCCAGGCAGCGACGGCGACCGGCGGCACCAGCGACCGUGGCGGCGGCGGCGGCGGCAGGCAGCGGUGGCGGUGGGCAGUGGCUCCGGGCAGUUAAUGAUGGCCGCGGCAAGAAAAGAAAAUUAAAAAAGAAAAUCAGCUUACUUCUAGAAAUUGUUCUCGGGAACAAGAAGCAACUUUUUUUUGCUUCUCAAAACUGUUCCUGGGAACAAUACGAGAACAAAAAUUAGAGAAAUUGUUCCUGGGAACAAAUGUUUUACCAAAUAGGUUUCUGUUCUUUUUUUGUUCUGGGGAACAAAAGAACAAAAAUUGGGAGAAACAGGAGCAUUACCAUGCGCUACCUAAAUGUAACCAGACCACCCCCUUAGGCAAAAAUGUGAACCAGAUGACCCCCACGGCUCCCCCGAAUCUCCUGCAGUGAGCUGUCGGUAGGCUAUUGGCCAGCACCCUUGUGUCCCGGUGCGCUCGCCCGUACCCGAUCCAACGCGCGCACGAAUAGCGAAAUCGAGCUGUCAAAAAGCAGGAUGCUUUCCUUAUUUCCGCAGCCGAAGAGACAGCUCUCGAACUUCUUCCUUCUUCUUCCUCCUUCUGCAGAAGCGUGUUGCGCAUACCUUAACGCAUUCAAGGAUUCGGAUUCCCGCAAGAUGUCAGGCACAGAAGACGGCCAAAGCACACCUCGCCGUAGCCAAUGGUGCCGCCGUCCGCCCCGGCGGCGGCGGCCACGGACUUCGAGAGCCCGGUCCCUUCGCCUCCGGUUGCGGGGGCGGGGUUGCGGAUGGGGGUGCCAAUGAUCGUGAGGCGAUGGAGGAGGGACGAUCUGAUCCAGAAGGGUUCCCUAGUGCUCCGGGGGCUAGCCUUGCUGUUCUCGCUGCUCAACUUCAUCAUCAUGACGAGCGACAAGCACGGCGACUGGAAGGACUUCGACAGAUACAAGGAAUUCAGGUCUGACUUUGACGUCUCUCUCUGUGUCUCUCUUUCUGUCACUCUCGCUCUCUCUCUCUUUUGAUCGAUUUGCGGAUGUGGGUUGUUGGUGUUUUGUUGAAAGUUUUGGUUUUUAGAAGUGCACAUCAAUUCUUGAACUUGGCGAUAAUUGUUUUCGGGUGUAGGAUAAUAGCUUGUAGAAAUUUUAGCAGUUUGAAUGAUGGAUUGAAAGGCAUUCAGGACUGCACCGAAAGAAAUCAAAGAGGAUAAAGGAAGAGAAAAAUAUUGAGACCGAAGACGUAGAACUUUGGGAAUUUUGUGUAUAUUGUCUUCUAUGAAUAAUUUGAUGUACAGCUUCUAGUAGUUAUAAUACAAGAUGUAUGUAAUGAAUCGAAGUUAGAGAUUCUAUGAAUCAAUCUAAUCUAGAUCUAAUCUUUAAUUGAUUUGUACAGAAUUGUAAUCGGAUCAAAUCCUCUAUCAAAUAUCACGAGCUACGUCGCAUAUCUUCCAACAUUCGCUCUCAAACUGGUGGCUUGUAGAUAUCUAAGACGCCUAGCUUGUUUAAUAGAUAUGCGUGCUGUCUUUAACACAGAUUUGGUGAAAAUGUCCGCAGGCUGCUCUGUUGUUCCAAUUCCUCUUGUUUCAAUUACUCCUUAUAAAAUUUCGUCUCGUGUAAAAUGACAAUUCACUUCUAUAUACUCGGUUCUCUCAUGUAUUAUAAGAUUUGUUGCAAGUUUCAGAGCCGCAUCAUUAUCGCAGAAUAGCUUUGUUGUCCCUUGUACUUGUACUCCGAGAUCUUUAAGAAGACCUCGUAUCCACAUUAUUUGACAAGUAGUUUUGGCCAUAACUUGAUAUUCUGCUUCAGCUGAAGAUGAAGACACAAUUGGUUGCUUCUUGGUCUUCCAUGAGAGUAAUGAUUCUCCCAAUUUAAUGCAAUAUCCAAUAACGGAUCUUCAACUCAUGGGAUAAGUUGCAUAAUCUGCAUCACAAUAUGCUGUCAUUUCCGUGUUGCAUUUUCUGGAUAGGAGAAUCCCAAGUCCUGGACACUUCUUUAGAUAUUUGACGACCUUCAAGGCAGCAUUCAUAUGUGAUUGCUUCGAACUGUGCAUGAACUGGCUAAGUGUUUGUAUCGCAUAAGAAAUGUUGGGUUUGGUCAUCGUCAGAUAUAUAAGUUUUCCGACGAACCUUUGAUAGCUUGAAGGAUCUUCCAGUGUGGAAUCAUCAUCUUGAAGCAUUCCCUUGUCAUAAUCUACGGUAGUCAACUUAGUGUUAUGUUCAAUGGGAAUAAUGGCUGGCUUGUAUCCUGAUAGACCUGCUUCUGAUAUAAUCUCCAAUAUAAAUUUUCGCUAACUGAGGGAAAUCAUUUGGUCAAAUCGAGCAAUUUCAAUACCAAGGAAAUACUUAGGUGCUCCUAAGCCCUUAAUAUGGAAGGUGACAUGCAAAUAUUCCUUAAAGCUUUCUAUGGCAGCUUUAUCAUUUCCCAUAAUAAGGAUGUCAUCGACAUAUAUCAUCAAAUAAAUAGAUGACAUACCUUUAAUCCGCGUAAAUAAAGCAUAAUCAUGUUUAGACUGUUUAAAGCCUGAUGUUGAAGAGCAUUGGCAAAUUUUGCGUACCACUGCCUAGAAGCUUGUUUCAACCCAUAAAGAGAUUUACGGAGGCGACACACUUUAUUCUCCCCUUAUCUCUGUAAGCCCUGAGAAAUAUCCAUAUAGAUUUCUUUGUCCAAGUCACCAUGAAGAAAGGCAGUGUGCACAUCUAUUUGAUGUAAAGGCUAGUCGUGAAUAGCAGCAACUGUCAAGAAUGAUCGGACUGUGACAUCUUUAGCUAUAGGAGAUAAUGUCUUGUGAUAGUCAAAUCCUUCUCGUUGAGUGAAUCCUUUGGCCACCAAUCGUGCCUUAUAUCUUUCAAUGGAGCCAUUAGCACAAUGUUUAAUUUUGUAAACUCAUUUGCAGCCAAUUAGUUUACAAUUUGGUGGCAGCGAAACUAGAUCCCAGGUCUUAUUAUCAAUCAAUGCUUCCAUGGCCUUUUGCCAUCAUGGAUCAGCAGAUGCCUCAUCAUAGCUAGAUGGUUCCCUAUCUUCUGACAAGCGACUAACAUAACAUCUAUGUUUCGGUGAUAGUUUAUGAGAUUGGAAACAUAGGAUGAGAUUGGAUAUUUGAUACCUGGUGAAUUGAGAGUGGCACACAUAUAAUCCUUUGUCCAGGUUGGAGGUCGUGUAGCCCGACCAUAACGUUUUGGAGGAUCAUCUUUUGGAGGGGAAGAUGUCUCUCUGGAUGACAUUGGUAAAAUAUCCUGGAUUUCUUCAUCAGCAGAAGAAUCUUCCAUUGAAUUCCCUAGAAUAUUCUCUGAAUUCGGAUUCUCAUCCGAAAUAGGUGCUGCUGCCGGAAUACUCAUGGGCAUAGAAGGAGCAUUGGCCGGUGUUGCUAAUGGUAUAUAAUCAGGAUCUUGAUAUGUUGCUUCAUCAGAUAAAGAAGUACGAGGAAUAGUGAUUAUACCUGAAUCUUCAUGUGGUGAUAUCUGUUCACUAAAUGGAAAAACAUUUUCAUGAAAGAUAACAUCUCUACUUACCAAGAAUUCCUUUGUAGAUAGCUCAAGAACACGAUACCCCUUCUGUAGAUUGGGAUAUCCCAUGAAUAUGCAACGUCGAGCACGAGGACUCAUCUUGUCCCAGGGGCCCACUAUGAUGACAUAACAUAAACAUCCAAAAACUUUGAGAUGUUUCAGCUCCGGCUUCUUCCCAAAUAGUAGUUCAAAAUGUGUUCGCCCAUUGAGUAUCCGAGUAGGCAUGCGGUUGAUUAAAUAAGCUGCUGUAAUAACACAAUCUCCCCAAUAUUCCUCUAGGACUGAUGCUUGGAAUUUCAGGGCUCGAGCGACUUCUAAAAGGUGAUGAUGUUUACGCUUAACUAUUCCAUUCUGUUGUGGUGUAUAGACGCAAGAGCUUUCAUGUUGGAUCCCAUGAGAUGAAAAUAAUGAAGAGCAAUCAUGGUUGAAGAAUUCCCUUCCGUUAUUAGUACGGAUCCGAUGAAUGGAUUUUCCAAAUUGAUUUUUGGAAAGUGCAAUGAAUGUUUUUAAAUGAGAAUAAACUUGGCUUUUGGACUGCAUAAAAAAAAAUCCAUGUUGCACGAGAAUAAUCAUCUACUAUUAUAAGGAAGUAACGAGACCCAUCGUGAUUUAUCGUAUGGUAAGUCCCCCAAACAUCCACAUGAAUUAACGAGAAAAUUUCACUAGCACAAGUGCUCCUAGAGGGAAAAGGGGUACACGACUAUUUCAUAAGAGGACAUAUGGAACAUUGAGGACAAGGAAAGGAGGCACUGUGACCCAUUCUCAAGUGCAUAAUGAAAUUCUUAUCAUUAGUAGUCAAAUUACACAAUGAUGGUUUAUUGAAAGAUGUGCAAGAUAAAUCAAAAUUACUAGGAAAAUUUGUCCAGAAAAAUAGUCCUUCAGAAAGACUACUCAAGCCCAUUAGUCUGCUAAUUGAAAGGGGCUGAAAGAAACAUGUGCCAACAUCAAAGAAUACCCGACAUGAAUUUUCUUUGCACACUUUUGACAUGGAAAUGAUAUUAAAUUGGAACUCUGGGACAUAAAGGACGUUUUGAAGGGUAAUUUGAGGGCUGAGAUUGAUUGUUCCUGUCACAUUCACAUGAGUAAUAUUUCCAUUGGGUAAUUUUACGGAAAUGAGAAAAUUCAACACUUCGUUUAUACUUGAGAAAUAUCCUUUGUCACAUAUAAUGUGAUCACUUGCUUCUGAAUCAAUAAUCCAUGCCCUCAUUGAAAUGGAAUUAAUCAAGCAAUGUAUGAUACCUGAAAAACUCCCUCCUUUGUUGGAAGUAUCCAACUUUUGCAAUGCAUGUAUCAGCUGUUGAUAUUGACCAUAUGAGAUAGGUUGGUCAACAUUCUGGCCUGUAGGUCCAGUGACUUGGUAAGCAACUAGAAUUUUUUUCUCUUUUUUUCCAAGCUUUCUAUGUAAUUUCCAAUAGUUGUCAAUCAUAUGGUUAGAACGUUUGCAAUAAUCGCAAAACAUUUUACCCUUUCCUUUAAAUUUGAUCUAGAAUUCUUUGAUGACGUGGCAAAGAUCUAACCAUCCAUUCCUUUUGUCGAGAACUCAUAUCCACUGUACGAUCCAUCUGCGAUCUCGGACUCGUGCAGGACAUCCGAUCCUCGUGCCCAAUCUAGACCAUCAGAUCCUCACGCCCAAUCUAGGCCGUUCAUUCCAUCCCUUUUAAGGGAUCGCAUUUCUGCUCCCCCGAACGCUAGCGUGCCCCUCUUUUCUUUCUCUUGGAUUAGGGUUCUGGAGGAACCAUCGUGCCAUUUGCCAUAGGCUGCGAAGGUGAUACUGUCACUGCUCCUCGCGUGUUCCGACGAUGUGAUCCGUUGGCUCUCCUCCUGUACAGCCACCUGGAAAAUUCUUUCGGUUGGAGAUACUUGAUCCAUGGUCAGAAUCUGUGAACGAAAGGUAAUGUAAGAUUCAUUCAAAAUCAGUAGGAAGCGUGUAGUCUUCUCCCUUUCUUUGAUGAUCUGUACUGUUUGAGUGUUGAUUCUGGUCCCUCGAGCUUUUCUUCAACUGCUUCUAGAUCGUUCCAUAAUGACGAUAGCUUGUUGAAGUAAGUUGUGACCAUCAUGUUUCCCUGUUUGAGCCCGCUGAGUUCAUACAUGAGGGAGAAAAUUUUUGCUCGAUCUAGUUUACCAUACAUCUCCUUAAUAUUUUCCCACAUGUUUCGAGCAUCCUCUGUUGGUGGAAGUCUGGCCGCAACAUCUGGAGAUAUGCAAUUUCUGAUCCAGGUUUGGACAAGUUGGUUGCACUUCCUCCGAUGUCAGGCUAGGCGCUCAUCCAAGGGAACGGCGAUGGUUCCAUUGAGGAACCCAUCUUUAUCCUUCGUUACCAGUGCGCGCCAGAGCUCCUGUGACCACCAAGAGUAAUUUUCUAGCCCGGUCAACUGUUGGUUGAUUAGUUGCAGUUCUGGUCCGUUGGCGGUGGAGACGAACAGGGGGUCACCGGGUUCUUGUCGUCCGGUGAGAGUUGCCGCUGGGUAUGGCAGAAAUCCGGGUGAAAAUCCCGGGUAGGGAUUUGUUCUCAUACCGGGAUUAUUCGACCCGGUUCCAUAACCCGCAUUGAAAACGGUCAGAUAUGGAUUUGUUCCAAUACCUAAUCCUUUCAAUCCACUUGCCUGCCUCGCAGUUGCUGCAUCCGACCCAAUGGUCGUGCUUACCCCCUUUACGGUUGGUGGGCUACCGUCGGGUUGGAAGGAGGCCCAUUGGCUCUAAAUCCCUUGCGAUGAUGCAUUCGAGCUUAGCCCAAACAAUCAUGGGUUGGGCUGCAUCUGAAAUGGCAGCCAUUGGUAAGGAUGGCCGAUCAUCGGUUGGCCCGAAAUGGGUUGAACCAAGAAGGGUUGCCUUAGAUUUGUCUAAGCUAGAAGAGAUUGACCAUAUAGGCUAGAAGAGAUUGACCAUAUAGGGCCCAAGCAAGUUGUUCUUGAGAUCUAGCGACAUCAAUAGUGGAAGUGGCGUCCUGGCUUUCUACAGGUUGCACUGGAUUUCCUUCUUGCGGAUUUUCACCAGAGGCUGAAGGUAAGUUUUUCGUCAUGGUAAAAAAUUCCUUGCUGAGAUGUCGAGUCUUGUAUGCAGGAUUGAAGAAUCUCAGCAGGGACAAGAUUAAAAGGAGCAGAAGCAAGAUCAUAAGCUUUUUACUGCUCUAAUACCAUGAAAGAAAUCAAAGAGGAUAAAGGAAGCGAAAAAUAUCGAGACCGAAGACGUAGAACUUUGGGAAUUUUGUGUAUAUUGUCUUCUAUGAAUAAUUUGAUGUACAGCUUCUAGUAGUUAUAAUACAAGAUGUAUGUAAUGAAUGGAAGUUAGAGAUUCUAUGAAUCAAUCUAAUGUAGAUCUAAUCUUUAAUUGAUUUGUACAGAAUUGUAAUCAGAUCAAAUCCUCUAUCAAAUAUCACAAGCUACGUCACAUAUCUUCCAACAUGCACUGUGGCACAAAAGUUUUUGGAUUUGCAGUACACUUUUUUUUGCUGGAUUCUAGGAAAGUUUUUUUGGGAUUGAACUGGAGAUUUUCGCCCAGGUAUCUGUUGGCGAUAUUGAUCCUGGCGACCCUGUACACCGAAGUGCAGGCGUUGCGGCAUGUCCACCAGAUUUCCAUUGGGCAGGAUCUCGUCAAGCGCCAGAUGUCGGCACUGAUCGACUUCGCCAGCGACCAGUGUUGGCUGGGUCCACCUUCAUGUGGGGCCCAGCCAGCACUAACAAUAAAAUUAAAAAAAAAAAGGAAAAAGAAAAGAAAAGAACAAAAAGAAGUGGAAGUUGUCGUACGUGGGGUGUCAUUCGAAAAGUGAAGAGAGGAGAGAGAAAAGGAAAACAAAAAUUGCACAAGGAAGGAAGAAGAAGGAAGAGGGCUGCAACUUUGCGGCUUUGAUUCAAAGGCCAAAUAUUGACGGAAUCGGCUCAAAUUUCAGUAUGUUGUUCGUGAGAUCGAGGGCUACAAGUUGAUGGUUUUUGUUCGUCGAGAACCGUCUCCGAAUCCUCCAAUUGCGGCUAAGGUUUUCUUGCUCCAAACUUAUUUGUCUACCUAUGUGGUGGGAAAAAAUGAUUGUAAUGUUGAUGUUGAGCCUCUAGUGUGUGACUAGAGAAGAAUACUUUGUGUAUCCUGCUAUUCUUGGUGAUUAGUGGAUAUUUUUGGGCGGUCCGUGGUUUUUCCCACAUCGGGUUUUCCACGUUAAAUCCUUGGUGUCGUUAUUUUCUUUGUCUACUUAUCAUUUCAGCGUUAUAUUUGCAUUUUGUGAGGCUAUACAUUGCUGGUUGUUGCUGGGGGUUAAGAAAAUUUAGUUGAUUUUGCUUCCGGGGAGAAAUUGAUCAUGGAUUGCGUUUGGCUGUGGUGAAUUGUUGUACUCGAGUUCUCUCCAACAAGUGGUAUCAAAGCACGGUUGAAUUUUAGUGUUAAAUGGAAGAAACCAGCAGCACCAUGUUUAAGUUAAAUGCCUCGAAUUAUUCUAUUUGGAAGCCUCGGAUGGAAGAUGUGUUAUAUUGCAAAGACUUAUUUGAUCCUAUUGAGGGUGAUGAAGCCAAAGGAGAUAAGGAAGACAAAGAAUGAGAGAGAAUGAAUCGGAAAACGGUUGGGUUUAUCCGACAAUGGAUUGAUGAUAGUGUGUUUCAUCAUGUUGCUCAAGAAACAAAGGCGGACACUUUGUGGAAGAAAUUACAAGAUCUUUAUGAGAGAAAAACUCCACAAAAUAAAGCUUUUCUAGUUAAGCGACUUGUGAAUUUGAGAUACAAAGAGGGGAGUAACAUGUCGGAACACUUGAGUGAAUUUCAAGAUGUUGUAAAUCAAUUGACAAAUCUUGAGAUUGAUCUUGGUGAUGAAUUGCAGUCAUGCUUAUUACUUGGUACUCUUCCUGAUAGUUGGGACACUUUGGUUGUGGCAUUAAAUAACUCGGCUCCUUUUGGUGUGCUUUCUAUGAGCAUGGUUAAAGAAAGCUUGUUCAAUGAAGAAACAAGAAGAAAAGGCUUGAAUUAUGCCUCUACAUCAGAUGCUCUUGUUAUAGAAAACAGGGGGAGAAGUCAAUCAAGAAGGUUUCAAAGAAAUAAUACUCGAGGCAAGUCAAGAGGAAGGUCGAAAUCAAGAUCGAGGAGGAGUGUCAAGUGUUAUAAUUGCGGCAAAAUGGGACACUAUGCAAAAGAGUGUUGGUUGCCAAAGAGAGAUAGAUUCCAUGAUAGAAAUGGAGAUCAAAAGAAAGAAGAGAAACAAGCUACAACGGCGGUUGCAUCCGAUGGCGAUAUUGUGUUUGUAUGUGAUGACGGAUAUGUGAAUUUUACAUGCCAAGACUUUAUGUGGGUUGUUGAUUCCGCAGCUUCUUUUCAUGUCACCUCACGGCGUGAUUACUUUGCUUCUUAUCGCAGCGGCGACUUUGGUUGCAUAAGGAUGGGAAAUAGUGAUGUUUCCAAGGUUAUUGGCAUGGGAGAUGUUUAUUUGGAAACCGAUGUCGGAUGUAAUUUGCUUUUGAAAAAUGUGAGACAUGUCCCGGAUAUUAGACUUCACUUGAUCUCUACGGGUGCCUUAGAUGAUGAUGGUUAUUGUAAUUCAUUCUUUGAUGGCAAAUGGAAGUUGACUAAAGGUUCCAUGGUAGUGGCAAAAGGUAAGAAGACAGGCUCUCUCUAGACCAUGCAAGCUGACUUGAUUAAAGAAGAGGUAAAUGCAGUGGAGGAUUCCUUGGUUGAUUUAUGGCAUAUGAGGCUGGGCCAUCUUAGCAAGAAAUGACUUGAAACUCUUGCUAGAAAGAACCUUUUACCUUUGAAAGAGAAAAAUCUAAAGUAAUGCACUCAUUGUCUGACUGGUAAGCAACAUAGAUUCUCAUUUCAGAGUUCCUCUCCACACAGGAAAUUAAAUGUACUUGAUUUAGUUCACACUGAUGUUUGUUGCAUGGAUGCUAGAACUCUUGGAGGUGCAUUAUACUUUGUGACAUUUAUUGAUGACUGUUCUAGAAAAGUGUGGGCUAUUGCUUUGAAAUCUAAAAAUCAGGUACUUGAGGCUUUCAAGCAAUUUCAUGUCAAUGUGGAAAGAGAAACCGGGAAGAAGCUGAAAUGUGUUCGGGCUGACAACGGUGGUGAAUAUAGAGGCCCAUUUGAACACUAUUGUAGGGAUUAUGGUAUCAAGCUUGAGAAGACUGUUCCAAAAACACCACAGCAUAAUGGAGUGGCAGAGAGAAUGAACCGGACAAUUAAUGAUCGGAUUCGGUGUAUGCUUUCUCAUGCGAAGUUGUCUAAGUCAUUUUGGGGUGAAGCGAUGAGAACAUCAGUAGACUUGAUAAAUCUUUCUCCAUCGGUUCCUCUUAAGGGGGAUGUUCUGCAAAGAGUUUGGAGUGGCAAAGAUGUUUCCUACAGCCAUCUAAAAGUGUUCGGUUGUCGGGCAUUUGUGCAUGUUCCAAGAGAUGAAAGAUCCAAGCUUGAUGACAAGUCUAAACAGUGUAUCUUCUUAGGUUAUGGACAUGAAGAGUUUGGUUACAAGUUAUGGGAUCCAGUUGCAAAGAAGGUCAUUAGAAGCCGAGAUGUGGUGUUUUGUGAGUAUCAAACUAUUGAAGACAUUGACAAGGUGGAGAGACCAAAGAAUACAGCUCAACGUUCAGUUAGUUUCAGCCCAAAUCCUUCUAAUGUUGAUAGAAAUCAUGGAGAAGAAGUGCAAGGAAGUCAUGAAGAUGGUGAGUCCUCACAUAAUGUUGAUUCUUCAGCUGAUACAGGUGAAAUAACUGAGGAAGAGCAAUCUAUCAUACUUCAAGUUAGAAGAUCUGAAAGAGAGUGUAGGCCUUCUCAAAAACAUUUGCCACAUGAGUAUGUGUUACUCACUGAUGCAGGGGAGCCAGAAACUUAUGAAGAGGCAAUAUCAUGUGAAAGAAAGAAUGAGUGGCAUGAAGCCAUGCAAGAGGAGCUUAAAUCCCUGCAUGAGAACCACACAUUUGAAUUGGUGAGGUUGCCUCAGGGUAAGAGAACACUCACAAAUAAGUGGGUGUACAAGUUGAAGACGGAAGAAAAUAGUUUACAACCACGAUACAAGGCUAGACUUGUUGUGAAGGGCUUUCGUCAAAAGAAGGGCAUAGACUUUGAAGAGAUUUUUUCACCGGUUGUAAAGAUGUCUUCUAUUCGAGUUGUUCUUGGGUUGGCCGCCAGUUUAAAUUUAGAAAUUGAACAACUUGAUGUAAAGACGGCUUUUCUUCAUGGAGACCUAGAAGAGGAGAUAUAUAUGGAGCAACCAGAGGGUUUUGAAGUUGAAGGCAAGGAGCACCUUAUUUGUAGAUUGAGGAAAAGCUUAUAUGGUCUCAAGUAAGCGCCUAAGCAAUGGUAUAUGAAGUUUGAGUCAUUCAUGGAAGAACAAGGAUACGGUAAGACAAAUUCCGAUUCUUGUGUUUUUAUGAAAAGAUUCUCAGAUAAUGAUUUUCUUAUUCUCCUACUUUAUGUGGAUGAUAUGUUGAUUGUUGGGCAUGAUGCCAAGAAAAUCAAGAGUUUGAAAAAUGAGUUGAGUAAAGCUUUUGCAAUGAAAGACCUAGGCCCGGCUAAGCAAAUCUUAGGCAUGAGAAUUACUCGUGAUAGGAAGAAUAAGAAAUUGUGGUUAUCUCAAGAGAAGUAUAUUGAGAAGGUGCUUGAAAGAUUUAACAUGAGCACAUGUAAACCGGUGAGUACUCCACUUGCAGGCCAUUUCAAGUUGAGUAGUAAUGAGUGUCCUUCAAGUGAGAAAGAGAAGGUUGAGAUGAUGAAAAUUCCUUAUGCAUCGGCCGUGGGUAGUUUGAUGUAUGCCAUGGUUUGUACAAGACCGGAUAUUGCUCAUGUAGUUGGUGUUGUGAGUAGAUUUCUCUCUAAUCCAGGUAAGGAGCAUUGGACCACUAUUAAAUGGAUUUGAGAUAUCUUAGAGGCACUUCUACACUUUGCUUGUGCUAUGGAAAUGCAAAGCCUGAGUUGAGUGGUUUCUCGGAUGCGGACUAUGCCGGUGUUGCUCAUGUAGUUGGUGUUGUGAGUAGAUUUCUCUCUAAUCCAGGUAAGGAGCAUUGGACCACUGUUAAAUGGAUUUUGAGAUAUCUUAGAGGCACUUCUACACUUUGCUUGUGCUAUGGAAAUGCAAAGCCUAAGUUGAGUGGUUUCUCGGAUGCGGACUAUGCCGGUGAUGUUGAUUCCCGAAAAUCCACAUCGGGUUUUAUAAUAAUCUUUGCAGGGGGAGCUGCUUCAUGACAAUCGAGAUUGCAAAAAUGUACCGCUUUGUCUACAACUGAAGCGGAGUAUAUUGCUAUUAUCGAAGGAGGUAAAGAACUUUUGUGGAUGCAAAAAUUCCUACAAGAGUUGGGCUUGAAACAAGAGAAGUUUGUUCUAUAUUGCGAUAGCAUGAGUGCCAUCCAUCUUAGCAAGAAUCCAGUGUUUCAUUCAAGAUCGAAGCAUGUUGAUGUGAAGUAUCAUUGGAUCCGAGAAAAGCUAGAAGAUAAGCUCUUCCUACUUGAGAAAGUUCAUAUCGACAACAAUAAGUUCGACAUGAUGACCAAAGCCUUGCCUGUGAUGAAGCUUGAUGCUUGUAGAAGAAAAGCGGGCAUGAUGAAUCUUCCCACAUGAGGUGGAGGGGGAGAUUUGUUAGCUAGGUCCACCUUCAUGUGGGGCCUAGCUAGCACUAACAAUAAAAUUAAAAAAAAAGGAAAAAGAAAAGAAAAGAACAAAAAGAAGUGGAAGUUGUCGUACGUGGGGUGUCCGUCGAAAAGUGAAUAGAGGAGAGAGAAAAGGAAAAAAAAAAUUGCACAAGGAAGGAAGAAGAAGGAAGAGGGCUGCAACUUUGCGGCUUUGAUUCGAAGGCCAAAUAUUGACGGAAUCAGCUCAAAUUUCAGUAUGUUGUUCGUGAGACCGAGGGCUACAAGUUGAUGGUUUUUGUUCGUCGAGAACCGUUUCCGAAUCCUCCAGUUGCGGCUAAGGUUUUCUUGCUCCAAACUUAUUUGUCUACCUAUGUAGUGGGAAAAAAUGAUUGUAAUGUUGAUGUUGAGCCUCUAGUGUGUGACUAGAGAAGAAUACUUUGUGUAUCCUGCUAUUCUUGGUGAUUAGUGGAUAUUUUUGUGCGGUCCGUGGUUUUUCCCGCAUCGGGUUUUCCACGUUAAAAUCCUUGGUGUCGUUAUUUGCUUUGUCUACUUAUCAUUUCGGCGUUAUAUUUGCAUUUUGUGAGGCUAUACAUUGCUGGUUGUUGCUGGGGGUUAAGAGAAUUUAGUUGAUUUUGCUUCCGGGGAGAAAUUGAUCCUGGAUUGCGUUUGGCUGUGGUGAAUUGUUGUACCCGAAUUCUCCCCAACAACCAGGUGGGUCAUCGGUCCUUGUCAUGCUUUCAUUUCGUGUUCUAGUCAUUUUUACUAUCGCUGUUGUUGGAACGUGGCGAAGACAAAGUCAUCUUCUAUCAUCCAGGUCAUUUUCCCUAGACAGUAUCCUGUGAAAAGGCUUAUCUGCUUUACUAGGAAUGACAGAUUUUCUGAGAUGUUCGAAUAGAGAGGGUGAAGAGAAAGAGCACAUAUUUGCCAUUCAAGUAUCCGAAAGCUUGCGAAAAUUCGAAGAUAGAUUUGGGUAAAUGAAGUUUUCGAUGUGGAGAGAUGAAUCGCUUUGAAAUUCAUCGAUUACUCGUCGUGUGCCUUUUUCCUGGCCAACUUUCUAUCUGUUUCGACCGAGGUCACAAAGUCCCCCUUCUUUUGUUCAAAAGUCUUCAAUUCAACCUGAGUUACAUCAUUGUCAGCAUUCGAGAACAUGGGACCAAAUUCCAUCUGUAAAAGCCAGACCUUUUCGUUGCACAAUUAGUCAAUUAGACAAGAACAGAUCACAUGGAAUGUCUAAGCUCUGUCUUAAUCAUUGGGUUUCCCAUUCAUUUUGCUGGCCCCAAACAUACUCUUUGCGUGGUCCUCAUUAAGAAGAGAAAUUUAGAUUUAUAGUACUGGGUUAUAGCAAUCACUUGCCAGAGGAGGUGGGAUGGAGUUGACCAAAAAGGAUCCAGAGCCCAUAUGUUCCAAUAGAGCAUUUCAAUCUUAAACCAUGAUCUCAUCUGAUAGAUUGGUCUUCAACAUAGCAGCAACUCACAAUUUCUACAUGAUACUGGAAUAGGGGAUCAUGCUUUGCCUCCUCAUAUAAUUCGAUUGUUGCAUUUUAGCCUCGACAAUGGUCUCGCAAUUUCACGUGCCCACAUGUUCACCUCUCUAUGGAGAUUGUCUACAUAUCAUUUCGCAAUUGAAAUGAAUCUAUGUGAUAAUGCUGUUUCGAUGUAUUGACUGCAAUUUAAUUAUCUUGGGUUGCAUCAGGUUGUGGCAUACCUCCUGAUAUCGGCAGCAUCUUUGGCCGUGCCCAUGACCAACAGGAUGAGAAACAAUGCGGAUAAUCUGUUCACCGACUGCUUAGCGGCUUCGAUAAGCAUGGCCUUCUUUGGCUUCCUCACGUUGGCUUUGUCUGCACUUAUUUCCGGAUACAAACUCUCGACCCAGUCCUACAUUUAGUUUUGAGUUCGUUCCGCUCACAUGUCCGUUGUUUGUACUACUGUUAUGCCUUCAUUCUUUGUAUGCACGGGGUUUAAUUAUAUCUUUGUAAAUUUCGAUGGUUUCGUGAAAGGAGUGGUGUGUUUCGGCUUGCCUCUGUAUUUUAGUUUUUGGGUGUUUCGAUCGGUAAAUUUGCACGAUGAAGAAGGUUUAGAAAGUUGGUUGGUCUCUCUCCAAUUCUCUGGCUGCGAUGAAGAGAUUCUAUUAGACCAUUCAAAAACCAAAUCAUCCCCAGACAAGAAGCAGGACACGUGUAAUCUGUCCAUCAGCAUUCAUUAACAGUUAAAAGACAGAUAAAUUGCACGUUCUGUUGUUCGCUGUCUUAAACAUGCGAAAACCGUCUCUUUGCAUAAGGAAUUAACACAAGAAGUUAAUAAUGUGCAUGAUAAUCAUUUUAUUUUUGUUUCGAAACUAUUUUUCUAUUUUAGAAAGAAGUCUAGAACAUAAAUUCAUUUGAUAUCCCAAUGUCAUCUUUCUAGUUCUGGAACAAAUUUUUUGUGUAGAAAUUGGUUUAAAAUAGAAAUAAGAAGUAAACAUUUUCUCCUUAUCUAUUUUUGGAACAUAAAUGAUAAAUAAAAAUUUUUCUCAUCGCUCGUCCUUGCUACUAGUUGGUCACCCACCCGCCAUCUCUUGCUGUUUGCCACCCGGUCACUGCUCACUGCGUGCCUGCCACCCAUCAUCCGCCAUCCAUCGUUUGCCAGUGCUCAGGAGAGGAAAAUUUUGUGUCGUUAUCAAACAUGUUUUUUUCUUAGAAACUUAUCUAGAAAUAGAAAUAGAAUAACCAAUUUUUGUUCUAUAAAUCAAUUUUUGGCCAUCAUUAUCAAACAUGUAUUUUUCCUUAAAAACUCAUCCACAAAUAGAAAUAGGUUAUGUUCCAUAAAUCAAUUUAUGAUCAGAAUGGUUAUCAUUCACACCCUAACUUAGCACGAGGAUUUGGCAAAUGCAGAAGCAGCAUUUUCGUGUUUGAAACACAUCCUAAAAUAGAGUUGCAGUUUUCAUCUCUCAAUCUUAUUAAAAUCUUGAUAGUUGAAGUUGCCAUAUUUAUCUAACUUCAGAGGAUUCUUACCUGUGAUCUAGCUCUAUAGGUUCUUGCAGAUUAUCCUAAAACAGCACAGAAUAUAUAAAAAUUUGCUCACGCGUUUUAACUCCGACAACUUUCCGAAGGUCGUCUCAUCAACCAACUGCCCAGCUGAGUGAUCUUUUCAAAAUGAAUGAGAUGAUUGCGCACGCGAUAAACAUGCGAAGUAUAUAGAAUCGCCGACAGCGUAACCGCUAGAAAAGAUAACAGCAUCAGCUUCCAGAAGUCCUGAUGCAAUAAUCACAAUUUGAGAAGUUAGAUUCUGAAGCAAAAGAUGGCCAGACUUGAGAGGGGAAAAAGAAAAAGCAGAGUUCACAAACGGUGCAUCAUCCAUUUAAUUGAAGCAGCACUCAGAAUCAAUCACCUGUGGAUUCGAGAUGAAUAUUCCCAUAACAUAAGCCAUCAAAUCCAAAAAGGACUGGAGUGAGUUCUGAACACCUCCAACGACGCAUCGGUCGGAUUCUGGCACCUCGUCCUGCCAAAAAGCCAAUGAGAGAAAUGAGGAUAGACAACAAAAGUCUCCAGGCCAGGCAAUGAACAAGUGUUCCAACUGUGUAUGGUUAGGAAAGAAUAGAUCAGGAAUUAUGCUAGUGAGACUGUCCAUAAAAUCAGCCACUUAUACUGUCAUUUUGGAGACUGGAACUUCUGAAAUCAAAGUAAAUAACCUGCAUUUGUUGAAUAACAGCUAAAUCGAACAUCCAUAGUCCCAGUCGAGAUGCCGCCACUCCUCCCAUCAGCAUGUAGGCAGCUGCUAAGCCAUUUUGAACCCAUAUCGAGCCGACACAUACAAGCAGGAAGAUCCACUGCUAUAGAUUUUAAGAAUCCAUGUCAUGCUUUAAAAAAUCUACGGACUAAAAAUCCCUACAAAGUAAGAACACGUCACUGUACUUGGGACCAACAAGACCAGAGCCCUGUUCUUAGUGUAGAAAUGCGGGAUUGUAAGACUGGAUAAACCAGAGUGGCUGCAAUGCCAAUUGUUGCACUUAUGCCGCGUGCUAUUCCGAUGACAAAUGCCGGUACACCUUCCCACUCCAAUGUAGCGGUCAUCAAACUUCCGAAGCUGUAGAAUUUGAAACCAAAACAAUUAGAUUCUUCUACUUGAAAAAGCAAUCGAAUUAGAGCAACAAAGACCUGGACUUUCACACUGCCUUGAUGAUGGAGAAGCAGUGAGAAAUGCCUUCUAGUAGAUAGCACGAGAAAAAGGCAAUAACAUUGAGAUAGCCUCAAAUUUGAUGCGAGCACAAAUUUAUCAUACACAUUUUCCACAAAAGACGAGUUUUCUAGACAAAAUGGUAUAACUGGGGUGAAGUUAUCCGCUCUACUUUUAACUCAGCCAAAGAAAAAUGAACAUUGGUUGGCAGAUCGGUCUUUCUACGGGAAGGGGAAAUGUAAGUUCCAUCACUAGUCCUAGAUAUAUAAUUGCAGAGUGAAUUUCUAACACAUCACCUGAGGACUGUAAAAUACAACAAAGCUAGGGAUACUCCAGGAAUCACAACUUCUUGCUCUAGGUACACUUUCCAAGCGCAAACGAAGGGAAUUUUUGAAAUUUUCUCCCUGAAAUUCUGCUUAUGGCUGCUCUCUGCUGAUUCUGGAUCACCAUUUUGAAUUAGUGAGCUCUCUAACAGAUCAACCGGAGAAGGCCUCAAGGUUCUUCUCAGGUUUCUCUCAACAAGAGCCGGAAUACCCUUAUAUACGGACAUGAAAAACCAGUACUCCAGCCAAACACAUGUUGCGUUCAAUAUGGCUAAAGUCAUAGCAGAUACUUUUAGUGAAAUAAAGCUGAUUAUGAAGCCGGAAACAACUGGAGCAAAUAAUUUGCAGAUCAGAUCGAUCCUUCUGAUGACCGAGUUCAUCUGGGUCAGAAGUCCUGGAGGUUGGCCUUCUGACAUCACCACCACCCUGCAUUCAGAGGAAUAAUUAUUAGGCAAAACAAAUUAAAACAAAAGUUUGUAGCAAAACUAUACCGAAAACUGUUCUCUACUCAAUUCGCCAAAAGUCUAAGGCAUUCUACGUGGAAGAGACUCUAAAUAUAGUUCUAAACUUUGCAUUACCAUUCUCUUUCAAUCAAAAUUGUUCCAGCCAAAGUAGAAAGCAUGCCCAUAGCGCCCGAAAGAUUGGUCACGACGAUGAGCACGAUGAACAACCCAGGAUUUGUUGAUUUCAGAUCUGAAUAGGCCAGCAUACCAAAGACUGUGGCUCCGGCCACCACAAAUGAGAAGUUUUGUGUCAUGAGCCAGAGCUGUAAAACCUGCAACAAGUAUGGGAUUUUACAAAAACAAUUCGAACUCAUCCUAGUAUUCUGAGCAAUUAUUUUCUCUCUGAAAAAUGCUUGUUUAGUUCCAAAUCUUUGGUUGCGGCAUUUGGACCUAAAAUGCCAUCCAAUUUCUUUUGUUAUGGUCGUGAAUUGAGAACUUUGAGAAUUGAAGUUUAUCGGACCUUGACAUAACUCAACUUAUCUACCCACUCUCCAAUGGUUGAACCAAGCAAGAAUAUGGAGCCAGAUUCUACCACUCCAUAGACAGCGGCCAAUAGCAAAGAGUCUGGCCAAAUACUGAUCAUGUACAAACCUACCGAAAAUUCCCACAUCCUGCAAGACAAGAAGACAUCAUAUCAUAUGGACAGGUGACACAUCCAGUUGCCUCCUUUCCGUUUCAUUCAAGUCAGAUCUAAAUGAACCGUGGCCUUACCAAGGUUUGAUUUUUCUAAAGAAUUGCACAUACCAAAAUUUCCGGAACUACUGAAUAGGUUGGGUCAAGGUUUUAUUUCACCAAGAACUGUGUAAAGGAUAUGUACGCAUGCCUAAACAAAAGAAGACAAGGGCUGUUUGAUUGCUUACUCUUUUACAUGAUCCUGCUAUAUGCAUCUGGCAUACUGCUGAAAGGCAAAAGCUUUUCCUUUUGCUUUUUAUUUUUUCCAUUUUCUUUUUUACCUGAUAAAUUGAGGCUAGUAAAUCCAUCCCGUACAGCAGUUACUAGAACAACUGCCUUUUUUUGCUGUAUAGAACUAGUAAACAUCAGUUUGCGACUCAUUUCCAAUUGUUGGCCAUGGAAGGGAAAGAAAUUACUUUUUGGCUGAGAUAAUUGAAUUAUGCAGUUGAAACUCUCUUCUCAAUUCAAAAACUAUGAUGUUGAAGUGAUAAUAGCAAAUCAGCCUUUCUAAGCAAUGAGAAAAAAAAAUGGAAGAAUAAAAAGGAAAAGCUUCCCAAAUUUAAAAACAUCUCAAAAUUAAAUUGUAUGAAGAGUACUAUGCUGAACUGUGCUCCAUGAAGAACAUGUUCUCUUUCGCAUUAUUAGCAAGUGUUCUUUAUGAUGGGUGAAUCCGAACCAUUGCCAAAGUUGAAGCAAAACGAAAAGUGUAACCUGGCACCCCAUCUGGCCAAGAAGUGGCCCGAGUACAAAUAUUUGGUGAGGAACGACGGAAAAGAUGGCUGUUGAGCACCCGAUUUGCGAUCAAGGAGUGGCUCCCUCAUCAUUUUAUGUCGCUGCACUGACUUCUUAAAUCAUACUAAGUCGUUCCUCUUCUUCUUCUUCCAGUGAAUUGUGGAUGGGAUGAACGAUUGGGAUGCAGAUCUCUACUUUAUAUUGUGACCGCUCACUGCAUCCAAAAUGAUGAUAGACUUUAAGUUGUACUAUAUGGUUGUGAUGAGUGCCCUGUUUUUUGGUGUGAUUGAUGAAAGUGAUGCAAAUGGUAUCAAGAAAGUUGGUCCUUAUAUCGCAUACUUGGUUUCACCCAAAAAAAAAAAAAAAAAAAAACAAGAUUAAAUCCGGAAAACUGAGAAGAAAAUGGAUAAAGAAAUCAAAACUAGGGAAAAUCUCAAAUAAUGACCCAAAAUGAGCCUAUUUUCUCAAAUAAGGACCCGAAGUCUCAAUUGUUUCAAAUAAUGACCCGAAGUUGCUAACAAGUCUCAAAUAAGGACUUGAACCCAUCGGCCGGCCAAAAUGUUCACCGGUUGGUGCACGUGUGACAUUUUUGAUGGCUGGAACAUGGCAAUUUUGUCCCAAAAAAUUAUAGAUAGAAAUUAACAAACCUUAAAAACAAAACCCCCAAACUCUUCAGGUUCUUCUUCUUCUGCUCUUCAUCUUUUACGUUCUUUGUCCCCUCUCGUUUGGAGAACCCAAAUUUUCUAUUGAUAGAGCAAGAUCCUUGUCUCCCUAAGUUCCAAAGGUACGUGCCCUCCCUCCCUCCUUGUCACGCCUUGAACCCCAAGCGCAUGCCCAUCCCUCUCUGAUCGAUAAAAUUUUGCGACUUCCCAGGACUAGUCGCCGACCCUUCUCAUUUUUAAGCAUAUGCGGAAGCAAAUAAUAAAUCCCCUGACAGUAACCAUCUCGGGAUAGAAAAGCGGGACAACAAAUUCACAAACAAACAUGUCUUUAUAUUCACAUAGAGUCAUAUACAAAGUCUAUGACCAAAAGACUACAAAAACUGGCUUUCCAAAAAGAAGCGGUCCUAACCAACUUACAUUUCAGAUCACCUCCUCUCAGGUCCAGAUCUUCCACUCGACGAUCCUGAAAAUUUAAGCCCACGACGGGGUGAGAUAUAAAUCUCAGCGAGUUCGUACGCUAAACCCCGAUUAGGAGGAAAAUACGACCAGAAGCCUCCUAACCACAAAAUCACACAAUCAAGAGAUGGAGACUUACCUCGCCUCAGUUCCAUCCUGCACGUCGGCACAGUUCAUAUCUCAAAUGCAUAUAACCAUUUAAACAUCUCAUCAACUCAAUCACCCAAGCGUUUCAAUUGUUAAUAUUUGCCCCUUAAGGGUACCACUUAAUCUCAAGUUCAGUGUCUACUGGCACAACCAGGUAUCGCCUCAUCGCCAUUGAGCACAACCACGUCUAUAUCUUAAUAGACGGCUUCCCCGAAGAGGUGUAGGUCCAGAAUCUACUGCGACCCGAAUCACCUACUCUUUAGUUCGGUGUCCUUAAUAGACGGUUAUUUUUCUAUAUAUUGUUAUACUCAAUUUAUUUGCUAUCUUAUGAUAUCCUUUGAUUUAAAUUAAUAUCUUUAUAAGUAUGUUUACAAAUCUGCAUAUUCAAAGAUUGUUUUGUCAUCAUCAAAAAGGGGGAGAUUGUUAGGGAAAUCCCUUAUGAUGUUUUGAAGAUGACAAAAUAAAUCAAAGGCUACUAACAUGUUUAAUGGUUAAGUAAUAGACCAUACAGAUGAUAUAACAUGUAAAUGAUAUUGUCAAAGUGUGAAGACGACCAGAAGACUGAACGUAACACAUGUCCAAAGUAUAUUAUGAAGAUUUCCAGACUUCUAUGUCAAAGUCUGAAGACUGCCUGACUUUAGUGUCAAAGUCUGUCCUACAUUAGAAGUCUGCUCAUUCUGACAUAUUCCAGACUGAAUGUGAAUGAUGAACCAAAAGACAGACUCUAUGCUGAAGCUGAACCAGAAGACAAACUCUAUGUUGGAGCUGAACUUAUUCAGACGGUGUUAAGACCUUAAAGCUAAAUCUGUUCAGAAGCAGAAUAUGUUCAGACUCAGAUUGCAAAGUCUAUCGCACUCAGACUCAGAUUGUAAAGUCUAUUGCUAUCAGACUUUAUAUCCAGACUCGACAGAACGUAACUCAAGCCCAAUCAUAUAACGGCUAGUGAUUUGGUUUGGAUUCCACAUCAAGAUUGAUUUGAUUGAUUCAAUCUAUUUGAUUGACGAUUGGAUCUUGAAGACAAGAACUUUCUAUACGAAGAAAGUUUACUUAUGGAAAUCAAGAUUUCGUUUGUAUGGGCGAUUGGAAUCAAUUUGGGAUUCUCAACGGCUACCAAAUCUUCUAGAUACAGAGCUGUUCAAUGGGUAUAUUGAAAGACGAUUCUCCGGGAUACUGUCCAACGGGUAGUUUGGAAGUGGAUGAGUAUUUGAGGAGAUCAUGGACCGAUGAGCAAGUAAGAGACAGAGCGUAGAAUUUAUAAUUCCAAAGUCUAAGCGACCUUCGAUCAUAUACUUGUCUCUUGAGAGCUUAAACGUUUGUAAUCGUGAGAGAAAUACCAAAAGAGUGACUUAGCGAGAUAGUGUGAUCUACUAAGUGUUUGCACUCGAAGUUGUAAUCUCUUGUUGAUUGCAUAGUGGAAUCCAGCCAAGAAGGCUGUUAGCGUGGGAGAGUGGACGUAGGCUUGGAUUAAGCCGAACCACUAUAAACCUUGUGUUCUUAUUCUCUUCCUUAACUCCUUUGUUUUACUCGAAAUUUAUUUUCUUCCGCAUAUAUUUGCCAAGGUUUAGUUUAAACACCUAUUCACCCCCCCUCUAGGUGUUCAUACUAGCACUCUCAAGGUGAGAUAUAAAUCUCAGUGAGUUUGCACGCUAAACCCCGAUUAGGAGGAAAAUACGCCCAGAAGCCUCCUAACCACAAAAUCACACAAUCAAGAGAUGGAGACUUACCUCGCCUCAGUUCUGUCCUGCACGUCAGCAUAGUUCAUAUCUCAAAUGCAUAUAACCAUUGAAACAUCUCAUCAACUCAAUCACCCAAGCAUUUCAAUUGUUAAUAUUUGCCCCGUAAGGGUACCACUUAAUCUCAAGUUCAGUGUCUACUGGCACAACCAGGUAUUGCCUCAUCACCAUUGAGCACGACCACGUCUAUAUCUUAAUAGAUGGCUUCCUCGAAGGGGCGUAGGUCCAGAAUCUAAUGCAACCCGAGUCACCUACUCUUUAGUUCGGUGUCCUUUUGGCGUAGCCAGGCAUCGUCUCACCACCGUUGAGCACGGCGACGUCCAUAUCUUAAUAGAUAGCUUCCCCAAAGGGGCAUAGGUUCAGAAUCUACUGCGACCCGCGAUUCAAAGAAGGGAUAUCCCAAAUAAAGCAAUGUCUGGCUUAAAAGCUCGAAACUAGUUCUUUUAACCAACACACGAUCACUUAAUUGCAAAAAUUAACCACACUAUUGCAAUCAGCACGAAAUUCCGGUCACCGGUUAUUCCGGUCUAAUUUCCGGAAAAAUAAUUAAUUAAUUUAUAAAUUAAUUAAAUAAUUCAAUUUAAUUUUUAAAAAUACCAACCCAGGCCAAAAUCACUAAAUUAAAUACCGAUACAGACUCGGAAAUUUUUUUGAACCCUGCUAGAUAAAUAGCACAUCCUAUCUAAGCCUUGAUUAAUUUAAUCUAACCACCUAACAUGCACAAUUAACUAAUUAAAUCACUAAUUUAAUCUAACUAACCACAUAAUUCCUAAUUAAAUAAAUCUAAACACCCCUUAAACGUUAUUAGCCUACUAAGAAGAGUUUAGAGUAUAAAUUCACUGGUUAAUUGUGGAAACUGGUUCAUCUUGACGAUGGCGCGAUGGCAGCUGAAAUCCGAAUUUUCGGCAGCGUAGGCGAACACUCGGGCUGGGCCUAAAACGGGCCCAACAAAUCUCAGCCCAAAUAUGAGAUUUGCUUUUGAAUUGGACCAGGCCCGAAGCGGGCUGACUUCGCAGGCUUGGCUGCUGAAUUGGGCUUGCAGAAAACAUGCGGGCUUCAGUGGACUUGCUGAAAUUGGGCCUCAAAAACUGGACUUACGAAGUGGGCUGCUGGACUCUUGAAGACUUCGCUGGGCUUGAUGGACGCUGAAGACGUUGGGCCGAGACGCACGAGCAACUGGGCUGGAUGCGGCUGAUCCACGAGAGAAGGAAAACGUGAGCUGCUGUCUUCGCUGAUCUUCGAGGGACGUUGAAGAGUUGCUGCUGGCGUGACUAAAGACGUUGGAUGAAGACACGAGCAGGCUGGCGGAGGCAGUUGGCACACGCAGGAGACUGCUGGGUCAACAAACCGCCGAGGGAAUGGCGUGGUUGACUGGAACAAGCUGCUUCGCUGGAAUAAAAAUCGUGGGCCGGCCGAAUGAAAUGAAGACUCGGCAGCAUGCAGGCGUGAAGGCCGAAGGGAAUGGCAGCUCGGUGGACGCUUCGUUCGUGGCUUCUGUGGCUGAGAGGGAGAGGGUGAGUGGAGAAUUUGGUGUGCGUGAGUGCUGGCGUGAGAGAAAUGAAAUGAAAAAAAUGAGGGGCGGCUGUCUUUGAGGAAAAAAUGAAGUAAAAGCAAAAGCAAAAACAUAAGCAGAACCCAGCAGGAGUCUCGCUCGAGCGAAGAGGUGGUGGAGGAAAAGAAGACGUGCGCAUGAAGAGAGGGGCCAAAGUCAAUGAGUUAUCUCCAAAAAUUCAAUGCUCGGUCCCUUUUAAGCUUGCAUAAAUAUCCCAAUGUUUCCCCCUAUUACUUUAUUAUUUAAAAUCCACCAUUAAUCCCAUUUUGAAGCCCUGUUGCCCCAAAAUCAAACUCCGAAUUUCCUUAAAUCUUCGCUCCAAUUUCUUCAUGAAAUUUCCCAAAUCAAGGUCCAAUUUCGGUGAAGAAAAAUCUCACACAAUUUUUUCUUUCUCCAUUUUACCUGUCAGAGAGCUAAAUUGUUUCCUUUCCUUCUCCAGAAGGAAAGGAAACAAUUUGGACUUCUUUGAGACUGCCAUGCCCAGAUAGAUAAGCCUGGUGACACCCCUUUGUUGCAAGGAAAGAAGCCCAGCUUGAGAGGGCAGAACUUCUGGGGAAUACUGGAGAAGAAGUUGCUAUAUCAAUUCGCUGAUUGUGGAUACUGAUGAAGCAAGAGUUGCUCAUUUCUAAGACUUGGGCAUUAGAUAAUGUUGAUCAAAAAAUAAAAGAAUAGAUAGAACGAGAAACAAUGGAUUUAUGUGGUUCAAUUGGAGUGACCUACAACAUGGAGAGAGCAUAGAGUAAUACAAGAUUUUGCUAUAGAUCAAAUGGUAUAAUAGAAAUUAAAACCACACUCGACUUGAGUUAUUCUUUCUUUCAAUGACUCAUGCUCAUCUCUUGAAUGCAAUCUAAGAAGAAGCCCAUUCUUACAAUUGAGAAAACACCUAUUAUUAUUAAGGGACUAGGACACUAAACUAGAAAACAUGGGAAAUAUUAAACUAAGAAACAUAAAAUUAGGAAAUUUUAAGCUAGGAAACUUGGAAUUAGAAAACAUUUAGGAAACCAACUUUAAUAGGAAACCUUUGACUCACAAAGGAAACCAAAUUGUAAACUGGGAAACGUAAAAUUAGAAAAUCUUUGAAAAAAGAAUGUGUUUAUUCUUCAACCCUCUUGAAAAUCCUUCUGGAAUACUUUUUCCUUAUUAGACCUUUGUGCUCCCACAUAAUGACCUUUGUGCUCCCACAUAAUCUAUCUGGAAGAAACUUGGGAUGCAAAAUAGAAAAUCUCAACCAAAAGUCAAAUUUUAUUAGGUUUUUUUAUGGAUUAAAUUCGAGAUAUAUUUUCAACAGAUGAUAACCGAAAAUUAAAAAAGAAGAAGAAGAAGAAGAAGAAAAGGAGCUAUCAGAUGAUGAAAUUAUGACAUUCAUCUCCUAGUUUCUCCUGCACAAAUUCAUCGGUAGCAAGAAACCAUUUGGACGAGACCCUGUUCAAUUACGGCAGAUCAUUUUCAUAUCCAAAAAAAUGUAGCACGAAGAACGUGGAGACGUCUGGAGACGACACUACGUCCGGCAUAAUGAUCAUCUCGAUCACGAAAAGAAAAGGAAAUGCUACAAAGUCAGACAGUCAUUUAUCAGAACCUGUAAUAAACAGUCACAUCCAUAUCAUUGUAGCUCGAUCAUGAUGCAGCCGAUCGACCUUCCUCAGGAUUCAACUGCCUUAUCGUCUCAAUCAAUUGGAGCUGAUUGGCGCCCGGAUUGUUGUCGUGGAGGAAUCUCUUCCUCGGGGCCGAACUUCGCGGGUCUAACAUUCAAGAUGAGCGGUAACUAGCAUCUGAUAAAGCCGCCAUCAUAAAAAAAGACUGCAGAUGGAUAUCAAAUAGGAGCAAGUAAAACUUACGUAACAUGAUAAAGACAUCCAGGAACAGUCUGCACAUAAUAUUCAUCGAGUGUUCCGGCAUCCUCUGCAUUAAUGUAUGCACGAUGACCUUUCCAGGAUAUCGUUUCUUACCAUGCUGUCUGUUGACACCUAAAUUUUGACGAUUUAGUUUAUUUAUUUAUUACAUAGGAAAUUAGGGGUUAAUUUUAUUAAUUGCAUAGCAUAUAAAUUUAUAUUUGCAUUUAUUUUGUUAUUGGCAUUUUAUUUAUUGGACCAGUGCGAACUGGUUCAAAUUAGUUGGACUAAGCCCACAAAGCGAGCUGGUUGGCCCAAGCCCAUGUUUUUUAAUUAUCUCGUGAAAAAUAAAAAAAAUUUGAAAUUUUUCCGGGAUAUGAAUAUUUUGGAUAAGAGCACAUGUGUGAAAAAAAUAUUGCGAUUUAUCUUUACGAGAUUUGGAUUUUGAGAAAAUAUUCAUCGUAAUCUUAAAUUUUUAUCAAUAGUGAUCGGUUGGUGAAAAUGUAUUGCGGAUGUAGAUUUGAAGGGGAAAUCGAAAGCUUAUCUCUUACCCCCUAUAAAAGCAACCGUGUACGAGGACCCUACGGUGGCUUCUCUUGGUAAAAAAAAAAUCAAGUAAAAAGAGAGAGAAAGGUUUUCUUCCUCGUCCAUCUUCAGCAAAAAGAGGGCUUUUUCUCUUUUCUUUUUUCCUAACAAACUGCAGGGAAAAGGAAAAGUCAGAGAGAGCAUUGUCGUGAGAGAGAGAGAGUGACAGGUGAAAUCAGAGAAAAGACCUACUGUUUAUCUUCUCCAGAAGUUCUGUGCAUCCGACUCCUGUACCGUCGGUUCCUGCGCCGACGGUCUCCGAGCAGCAACGCCGCCGCCUCGCCCCACCGACGCCGCACCAGAUCCGCCUCGCUCCGAAGCCCACCGCACCUCCGCACGAGCACCACCGUGAUCUACGAACCCGACGCCAGCAGUCCGACAACCGGGUCUCAGAUUGCCCGGCACUCGCCGCGCCUCAGCCAGCGCGACUCCGUCCCUGCAGCAACUGACGCCGCUGCGUCUCUGCACCCGCGAGUUCACCGCCGACGCCGGCGACAUCGCCAGCCAUUGUCUCCUGCAGCUCUGCCCGAAUGACGACACCGGAGCCCCGUUGUUCCCGAUCCACGCAACCCAACGCCACCGAACCGCACCCGUUCAGAGCCUGACUUGCUGCUGACCCAUGACGCCAAGAUCAGGUCCGAGCUCUCACACGCCCGAGUGAUGACCAACCGCACUCGCAUCACCGUCCCAGGGCCUGCUCCUCUGCCCAGCUCCAGCUGUGACGCCUCUACCCGCCAGUCUGCUUGCCGCCGAUUCCCCUCGCCAGCCCGGAGCUCCGAUUGUGACGCCCUCCGACGAUCAGAACCCGCUGCCCAGAGAUAAGCCGCACGAGCAAGCUGUGGGUGAAGAAAGCAAGAAAAAAAAAGGAUUAGGUAGUCCUUUUAUUUAUUUAUUUAUCUUAUUUAUUUUCUCCUAUAUCUUGUUUUUAGUGGGAUUGUUCCUUAAAUAUGUGACUGAUAUUCCAAACAUGAAAGUCCCCCUCAAGCAAGGGAUUGAUAGUCCGAUUUUCGCGCCCGAAAUCCGACUCGCAAUCUCUUAUAAAAAUCGACAAUCCAAUCUCAAGCCCGAGAUUUGAUUCGCGAUUUAAAAUUAAAAUUGGUCAACCUGAUCUCAUGCGCGAGAUACGGUUCGCCAAUUUUUGGAUAUCAAUAUUGUCUUGUUUGAUUUGAUAUCGUGUGUUUGGAUCAAUUUUAUUUUCAUAAGAGAAAAAAUCAAAAAAAAAAAAUUCAAAUUAGGAUUAAGUAUGUUUUAGAAUAUUCUUAGUCUUAGGGUUAAAAUCGCAAUUUGAUUUCGAAUUUUUUUUUUAAAUAAGAAAAUCAAAAAGAAAAAUCCGAAUAAGGACUAGGUUUGUUUUUGUUAUCUUGCAUAUUAGGAUUGCAAUCUUAUUAUGAAUUUUUUAAUAAAAAAUCCAAAAAAAGUGCAUUCAUUUAGGUUGUUAGUUUUUUUAUUUGAAUUGCAUGUUAAUUAGGUAUUAAUUUUAAUUUCGAGAUUAAAGAAAACCAUAAAAAAAUCAUUGUGCAUAUUAGAUUAGAAUUGCAUGCUUCAUUUUAAAUUUAGAUCAUCUUUUUUAGAUAAAUGGCAUUUUAGAUUUAGAUAAUGUUUUAGUUUAAAUUAGGAUUUAAUAUGACUUAAUCCCUAGUUUAAAUUAGAUAGAAUCUUAAUCUAGCUAGAUCAUUUGAAAUUUCAUAAAAUUUGUCUUAGGAUAAAUUAGUUGCAAUUUCUAGGAUAGAUUGCAUUUUUUUUAAUAAAAAAUGUCAUAUGCAUAUGUCAUGUAGAAUUAACGCAUUCUUUGCACGUCAUUGCAUGCUAAGAUUGCAUAUUAUAGGUUUAGAUAAUUUCUCCUAAAUAGAUUGCAUGCUUAUUAGGAAAAUAAAAAUCAUGUGCACGUCAUAUAGAAUUAGUUUCAUACAAUGCAUGUCAUUUAGUGAUUUUUGUUAGAUGCAUUUAAUUAGAAAUUGCCCGUCAUUAGAAUUAGGUCAUUAGAUUAAUUUAGAUUACAUAUUUAGAUGUUGCAUUUCUUUAAUUUCGAAUCUCAUAGAAAAUACAAAAAAAAUUAUUUAGAAUAAAUCAUCUCAUGCUUAGGAUAGAUUACAUGCUUAGUUAUGUCAUAUUGCUUAGGUCAUAUAGCUAAGUCAUGUUGCCAUGUCAUAUCAUUUCAUGUUAAAUCAGUGGCAUGCAUUGCAUAUUGCAUGAUUUUCAUUAAUUAAGUGAAAACAAAACAAAAAAAUUGUGUGUUAAUUAGAAAUCAUAUUUAUGACUGCUGAUGUGAAUUCUAAAUUAACAUUGCAGAUGCUUUCGUUGCUUUGAGGUAAGUUCUGCAUCAUUUAUUCAUUUGCUUUCUUGAGUGUUAAAUUGAUGGUUUGCACACCUGCAUGGUCACCUCACAUGCUAGAAUUUAAAAUUAAUUCAAGUUGCCUGCAAAAACAUUUUUGAAAUUAAAAGAAUGGUACCGAAAGGGCGUUAGAGAAAUCUAACGUAACCAAGUCCCCGUACCCAUAAUCUCUGGUUCGUAGGAGUAAAGUAAAUCUCCCAUUAUUUUACUUGGGUUUCUAAUCGACCCAUCAAAAAAUAUAUUAGUGGCGACUCCUAAUUAAAUUUGCAUGUUAACAAUUCAAACCUAAGUCGCGAAUUGGUAUGGGCUUGGGAGAGCCCGAGUUAAGUUUAGGCUUAACAAUCCAUUAGCCAAACCCUAGGUGGUUCAAACCCGAAAAAAUUGGUCGCGACAACUUGGCGACUCUGCUGGGGACAUGAGUUAAAACUCUUAGUGGACUUAGGCCAAUUUUUCUUUUUUUUUGAAAAAUGUUUUUUUUGGCAGCGAGGAUUCCAGGUACGUCCCUAACAUUUAAGGUGUUAAAUGUUUUUGCAGGAUGUGAGGUAUAAGGGGAAGUGUUUGCUAACCUUUGUUUUGUAGGGAGGUGUAGGAAUGUAUGGUUUAUUUUCAUGAACGAUGUGUUGCUUGAUAUAAACUAUCGUGCAUGCCCUGCAUUAUCACUACACUUUGCACACACAACCUGCCGCCGGACCUGGGCCGCAUAGGAUCAUUUAGGAUGGUAUUGAGAUGGAUACCACUUCGACCGCAUGCUCGCGGUAUGAGUCGCCCAUCUCAAUCCCGAAGUUUCUUUCAUGGUGUCAAGAGUACCCACCUCGGUCUGCAUGCCCGCGACCCAGGUUGGCUCUUUGACCAAGCCAGAGUCAUGAGGACCCGACAUAGUCCACAAGCCCGUGGCUAGUCUGAUCAUUCUUGUGGCUCCACCUUGAUAAGCCUUAUAGAGUAGAAAUUGAGCCACUUACCAUGCGCAUGUCUAUGUGAUUGUCAAUCAUUGGUAAAGUAAGUUCUCUAAUUUUUGCCUUUGCAAUUUACUUACUUAGUCACAUUAUUUUGUCGGUCCAUGGCAUUAGGAUUGUCCCGAGCUUUGAUUAAUAUACAAUGGGGACACCGAACAUUCGGAUCAUUCUCUCUCCAAAGGAAGAGCUUAGCACUUGGUGGGACAAGUUAUAUCAGAAUAGCUGUCAAUUCGUAGAGUCACAUAUUGGUCGAUUGCUUCCACUGCUGCGUAUCGACAUCCAUGGCGGCCUUGUCCAAGCACUCGCCCAUUGUUAGUGCCCCGAGACUUCUACCUUCAUCUUCGGUGGUAAGCAUGAACUCACUCCCACCUUGGAAGAAUAUAGCAUCGCCAUAGGGAAGUCCUUAAAAGCUGAAUUGAUUAGUCUGCCUAUCGGAAUAGAUCAUGUUAUGGCCUUAUCUGAUUUUCUGAGAAUUAAAGAAGAUGACAUAAGAAAGGUUUUAAAGGCCCAUCGUAAUGCAUGUCCUUUAUCUUUUCUGAAAGAAUGUUUUGAAAAAGGCACCUCAUUUCAAAUGCGUAGGAUUUUCCUCUUAGCUUUCUUUGGGUUUAUAGUAUUUCCUUAUUGCAAGAAUGCUAUUAACCCUUUGAUUGCUCAAUUUGUUAGGCAAGUGUUGGAAGGAAAUUUUUUUGUAAACACUGUUUUAAUUGAAACUUUUCUUUCUCUCACUCAUUUCAAAAGAGGUGGCGAUAAGACUCUCCAUUCCUCUCCUGAACUUUUACAAAUCUGGUUCCUUUCUCAUAUAAAAGGAUUUGGUGGUUCCAUGACUAUACAUGAUGUUAGUAAUUCUAAUCACCCCAUUAUGAGAUUUGAGAACAAUCAAAAACAUGCACCGGAUUAUCAUUAUUCUAGGUGGCUAGCUUUCAUGAAAAAACCAACUCCCAAGGGUUUCCUAUGGCAUGCUAAAUGGUUCUAAGUUCGGGUAGCAAGACUCUCAUGUGGAAGAGUUGGCCCAAUCCCUCUAUUGGGAUUCACUGGAGCAUUGGAGUACUAUCCGACUAGAGUGACUCGUCAGUAUCAAGUCGUACAAGAGCUUCCCCCAGUGUUACAAGCGGAUCCGCUCCAAGUUAGCUUCGUUGAUGGAAGCCGAGGCCAUGAAGAUUCCAUUCUCACCAUCAAAUCGAUGUGGGACAUGUGCCGUCCACAAAAACUCAAAUGGCCAGAGGAGGAAUUGAAAGGCAGGGAAAUGAAGUACUAUGCCUCGAUUAAGUAUAUCAAACGGCACAAGAUUCCUGAAGAGCUGCUUCCAAAGAUACCGGAGGCACCGUUGAAGAUCACCAAUCGAGCUGAGAAUAAACGCCUCAAAAGAGUUGCUGAAAAAGCUCAAGAGGAGAAUAAACGAUUGCGCCGAAUGGUGUCCCGAGUGUAUAUUGAUCAAGCCAAAUGAAAUGCUUGAAUCAAUCUUGCUAUUUUUAGUUUUAGAUUAGGAAGUUUGAGUCAUUUACUUUCCUAGUUCAUUUGUUUAGGACGUUUUGAAUUUCUAUUUCGAUAGGUUUGUCAAAAGCUCCAUUGAUGAAUAAAGUUCUAGAAUAUUGCCAUGGAUCGACGUAUUUUCAUAUGAGAAUGCUUAUUUUUGUUCAUUUCUUAUAUUAGGUUAUAACGGAUCCAUCACAUUCGCCCAUCAUCACGCGAUUAAGAGCAAGAAUGGCCGAACAAACCGAAAUGCGUGAUCGUGUCUCCGCUGUGGAGACUCAACUCCAACAAGUACUUGCCUCUUUACAACUUGUGACGGAUCAACUCCAAUUCCUCCAAGCGAAUCCAAUAGCUGCACCUGCUCUUCCUGAAGUGGUUAUCCCAAAGCAAGCAAACAAGGUUCAAACGAUUGACGACGACAUGCCCGAGCUGGAAGAUGACCCAGUCAUUGUUGGAAAGGCCAAGCUUGAUGGCAUUCCCAAGACAGAUCAGGAUGAGGGUGGCGAAGCUGGAAGAGAAAAUGAGACAGCUACAAGAGUCACAAAGGUCCCUCCCGUUCGACCUCUCGGUCUAUGAGAAGGUCAAAAUGCCGAGCAAGUUCAAAAUGCCAGAGUUUGAGAAGUAUGAUGGCACAUCUUGCCCAAAAUCUCAUCUGCAGAUGUACCACGUGCGCAUGGCCCAGCACGUCAAAAACGAGCCCCUCAUGAUCCAAUCAUUCCAUGCGAGUUUGACUGGACCCGCAUUAAACUGGUACGUGAUGAAAAAUGUGAACCUGCUCGACACUUGGAACGAAGUAGCUGACUCAUUCCUCAAACAAUACAAGUUCAACAUGGACAUCGCACCUUCCCGAGAAGACCUGGAGCGGAUGGAAAAGAAAAGGAGCGAGUCAUUUAAAGAAUAUGCUGUGAGAUGGAGGAACCUGGCGGCUCAAAUUACUCCUGAGCCUACCAACAAGGAGCUGAUGAAGUUAUUCGUGAAAACCCUUCCGUCCGAGUUUCAUAACAGAAUGGCCAGUACAUACGUCGAAAGCUUCAAUCAGCUUAUUCCUGUAGGAGAGCAAAUUGAGAUGGGGAUAAGAGAAGGAUGGUUUACCGAGUCAUCUAGUAAAAGAUUCACUGCCAAGAAGGAGAAGGAAAUGGCCGUGGAUGUGAAUGUGGCUUAUAGCCAAGAAAAUGUCAAACGUGCCCCGGCCAUCCAAAUGAAUCCAAGACAACCGCAAACCACUAGCCGCCAAUCAUUUGCCCAAGCAAAUAAUAGAAGGCAAUUUUCUCCUCUCCCUGGGUCUCCAUCCCAAGUGCUGACGAUCCUCCGAAAGAAAGGUUUGCUUACUAAUGAACCAAAGCGUCCCAAUCGUGAAAGCAUUCGCGGUUAUGACCCAGCAAAGAAGUGUGACUACCAUAACGGUGAAUUGGGGCAUUCAACUGAUGAAUGUUUCACCCUCAAGCACAAGAUCCAAAAUCUCUUGGACACAAAGGCUUUCUCAUUUCAAACUGCUCGGCCAAAUGUCCAGAAGAAUCCGCUACCGGAGCAUGAGGAUACAGUGAAUGCUAUCCUAGAACCUGAAGUUAGACGGAUCAAGAACUCGAAGGUGAAUGUGGCAGAUGCCUACAAUGGACUGGUGAGAGCUGGUUAUUAUCCAGAUCAAGAGGAUGUUCCUUUAUCGUUGAUGAAGGAAAGAAUUGCCAAAAUGGUGGAUGACGGCAUCAUCGUGUAUGCUGACCGUAACUGCGUGGUUUCCACCAUUUCCCACAUCAUCAUUGAUUGGGAGGAGGAGCAGGUUGCUCUCGAUAAUGGUAAGGAAGAAGUAGAUCCGUCACUUGCAGAUAUGCCCCCGCUAGAAGAUGCAACUGAUGAUGAGGUUGUGAUUGAAAUACCUCAGCCGUAUGAGUAUGUCAAUAAUAAAGCGGUGCCUUGGUCUUAUGACCUAGAUGUUGACCUCGUUACAAGGUCCGGUCGAACUUAUGCUCAAAAUAAUGCUCAACCUGCAAAGCUCGUCACUGACGAAGAGGCUAAGGAAUUUCUGGCUGUGAUUAAAGCAAGUGAGUAUAAUAUCGUCGAUCAAUUGUGAAAGAUGCCUGCCCAGAUCUCUUUGCUCGAGCUCAUCCAAACCUCCCCUGUGCACCAAAAGUCGCUGAUGAAGGUGCUAAGCGAAAUUCGUGUACCCGAAACAGUUGAAGCAGAUAAGUUGGAGGAUUUUGUGGGAUCAGUCCUUCUCAAGGACAUGAUUGCUUUUUCUGAUGAGGAAUUCCCUCUUGAGGGUAAGGGGCAUAAUAAAGCACUCUACAUAUCUGUCAAGCACAAGGUUUCUCAUGUGUCCCGAGUGCUCAUUGAUAAUGGGUCCGCCUUAAACAUAUGUCCAUUGGCCACUCUUCACCGCCUCAAGGUAGACCUGUCCAAGGUACAUGCUGCAAAGACUUUUGUGAGAGCUUUUGAUGGAACGAAAAAAGGAGGUAAUCGGGGAAAUCCAUCUUGACGUGCAAAUAGGGCCGGUCGUCUUCAACAUUCCCUUCCAAGUGCUGGAUAUCCCUACCGCAUUCAAUUUUUUGCUAGGUCGUCCAUGGAUACACACUGCUGGAGCAGUCCCUUCAACUCUACAUCAAGCUGUGAAAUUUGUGAUCGAAAGGUAGCUGGUCACUGUGUAUGGUGAGCAAGACCACCAGAUUUAUCAUGAGACGGCUAUCCCCUAUGUAGAGCCGGAUUCUGAGCUCGAAUCAAGUUACCACUCAUUUGAGUUAGUGUCUACCAUACACGCUUUUCGAGGUUCAUCGCUGCCCACUCCUGAGGUUUCAGAUGCUGCCCUCAUGGUAGGAAGAGUAAUGGUUGGGAAUGGUUUUGUCCCUGGCAAUGGUUUGGGAAGAAAUGGUCAGGGUAUUCGAAGCCCCAUUAAAGCCCCUUAGAGGUCCCGAUCUGCUGGGUUAGGGUACCAUGGAAGAGGUGGAGGAAGUUCUGGAAGGCAAAGAUAGGGAAGGCAUAACUCGCCACCUGAGCAAGGGCGAAGGAGGCAAAAUUUACCACCUCCAAACAUUCAUGAGACAUUCCCUGGUCCUCCAAUUAUGAUGCAACAUGAAGCUGAAGUAAUGGAUACUCUCGGACAGCCAAGUGGGAAGUUCGACUAUAUGGUGAAGUAUUCGGCUCCUCCCAGCUUUUACUUUGAUGCCCGCAAUAUAGUUCCAAGUGGAUGGGAUGGCAUGGAUGAUCCGGCGCCUUCAAAGACGGAAAACUCUGAUGACACCCUCGAAGGAAUUUCAAGUUUGUUCGAUGAUCUCUCCAUCGGAGCCAUUGAUGGAGAACCUCCGGAAGAAACGGGCCCUCGCCCACAAGAGUAACCCAUUUAUCACUUUUGCACAUUCCCCUGCGUGAGAAUUUUUAUUGCUUUCUAGGAAUUGUUUUUGAUUUCUUCUUUUUCACUUUCUUUUUAGGACUUGAAUUGCAUUUUCCAUUCAAUAAAUUGUAAUUGAUUGAUGAAUCUCAAUGAAAUUACAAGUUUUAUUUUGAGGGCAUGAUGAGGUACACCAAACCAGCCCGGUGAUGAUAUCCAGCCGAUAAAACAAAAGAAAAAUCCAAGGAGAACUCUGAGGCCUGGGCUUCAUCAUGCUUCCUCGUGUCAAAAUGUUUUAAAAAAAAAUACUUUUGCAAAAGAAUUUCAAAAAAGUUUUUACAAAAAAUAAAAUAAAAUAUGAUUAACCCUGUUUGUCUUUUUGAUCCUUCUAUUUCAUGUUUCAGGGACGAUCAUAUAACAUGCAAAGGUAUGGAAAUGGUCCAAUCCAAUGCAACAAGUGCUGAUAAUGAUCUUGGAGAGUCGAUCAAGGAUUCCAUUGAAGAUUCCACUGAGGUGCAACAAAGCUGGGAACAACAUGAAAAAGCCAAGACUCUCACAUCCGAGUAGACUGUCACUAUUAAUUUAAGUGACAUUGAAGAAGCCAAGGAGGUGAAAAUAGGGGCGAAUCUCCCCAAAGACGAGGCUGAGCGCCUAAUUCAGUUACUGAAGGAAUAUCAGGACAUCUUCGCAUGGAACUACGCCGACAUGCCUGGGUUAGACCAAUCAAUCGUGGAGCAUUGUUUGCCUACUAACCCGGACGUGCCUCCUAAGAAGCAAAGAUUGCGAAGAACUAAGCCUGAGCUCUCGAAGAAGAUAGAGGAAGAGGUGAUGAAGCUUCUAAAAGUCGGAUUUAUUGAAGUCUCGCAAUACCCUGAAUGGGUAGCAAACAUCGUGCCAGUGAUGAAGAAGGAUGGUCGAGUUCGAGUUUGUGUUGAUUAUCGGGAUUUGAAUAAGGCUAGCCCAAAAGAUGACUUCGCGCUACCUCACAUAGAUGUCCUUGUUGAUAGUACUGCCGGAUUUGAACUAUUCUCAUUUAUGGAUGGUUUUUCUGGAUACAAUUAGAUAAGGAUGAAGGAGGAAGACAAAGAGAAAACUGCAUUCAUCACUCCGUGGGGAACCUUUCAUUAUAAGGUCAUGCCCUUUGGACUCAAGAAUGCAGGGGCAACUUACCAGCGAGCUAUGGUAGCACUAUUUCAUGACAUGAUGCAUCAAGAGAUCGAGAUCUAUGUUGAUGAUAUAAUCACUAAAACUCGACCUGGGAAAAGCCACGUCGAAACCUUGAAGAAAUUGUUUGAUCGACUCCGUGAGUUCAAGCUUCGUCUAAACCCCACUAAAUGCGUGUUUGGAGCAACAUCUGGUAAAUUACUUGGGUUCAUUGUGAGUAGUAAAGGGAUUGAGAUCGACCCGGCUAAAGCUAAGGCCAUAUGUGAGUUGCAACCUCCAUCAAUAGUGAAAGAAGUCAGGAGUCUUUUGGGGAGGUUGAAUUACAUUGCUCGAUUCAUUUCCCAACUUUCUGAAACCGCCAAGCCAUUCUUCAAGCUCUUAAAGAAGAAUGCACGAGUCAACUGGGAUGAUGAGUGUCGAAAAGCAUUCGACAAGUUGAAACAGUACUUGAUGAAUCCACCAGUUCUUGUCCCGCCAUCACCAGGGUAUCCUUUGAUUCUUUACCUCACCAUUCAUGGUGAGUCAUUGGGUGCGAUGUUGGCUCAGGAAAGUCCCGUCGAUAAAAAAGAACGAGCCGUUUAUUACUUGAGUAAAAAAUUCACUGUGUCAGAGCUAAAAUAUUCUAAUGUGGAAAAGACUUGUGCUGCAUUAGUGUGGGUAUUGCAUAGAUUGAGACAGUACACACUGCAUUACCAGACAUUCCUCGUAACUGAGAACGAUCCUAUCAAGUAUUUACUGAACCGGCCAGCUUUGGUGGGUAAGUUGGCUAAAUGGCAAAUUUUGAUCUCGGAAUUUGAUGUGCAAUUCAUGCCACAAAAGUCGGUUAAGGGUCGAGUAAUUUCCGAUCUAUUGGCUGAGAAUCCAGAAGCCUCAAAUAAUGACGAUCGUUCUUUGGAUGACUGCAUCUUGAGUGUAAAUGAAGAUUCAUGGACAAUGUUCUUUGAUGGUGCUGUGAACUUGUCUGGUUCAGGUACUGGGGCAGUUUUGAUAUCCCCAGACGGACAGCAUCACCCAGUAGCUGCGAAAUUGAUAUUCCCAUGCACUAACAAUAUAGCCGAGUAUGAAGCUUGCAUCAUUGGGCUUCAAGCUGCAAUCGAGAUGGGUGUAGCCAAAUUAAAAGUGUUUGGGGAUUCCACGCUGAUCAUACUACAGACCAUAGGUGAAUGGAAGACUAAGGAUGCUAAGUUGCUCCCAUAUCAUGAGUACUUAGAAGAUUUGAUCAAGAAAUUCGAUGAAGUUUCAUUUGAAUACUUAUCGAGGUCUCACAAUCAAUUUGCAGAUGCACUCGCAACUUUAUCAUCUAUGUUGCAAGUCACUGACAGAUUAGAAAUUGAACCAUUAAAGAUAGAGAUUCUUCCAAGGCCGGCUUAUUGUAUGGUAGUGACAGAAGAGUCUGACGGAAAACCAUGGUAUUACGAUAUCAUGAACUAUAUCCAAAAACAAGGAUUCCCUGAGGGAAGUACUCCAGCUGAUAGGAAGUACAUCAUGAAGAUGGCCUCAAAGUUCUUUGUCAGUGGUGAGAAUUUGUGUAAGAGAUCUUAUGAUUCAAUCUUGUUGCGGUGUGUGGGUGCAGCUGAAGCCACUCAAAUCAUGCAAGAAAUUCACAAAGGAGUAUGUGGCCCUCAUAUGAAUGGACACAUGAUGGCUAAGAAGAUCAUGAGAUUAGGCUAUUAUUGGCUCACGCUAGAAGGUGACUGUAUACAGCAUGUUCGAAGUUGUCAUCGUUGCCAGGUCCAUGGUGAUAAGAUAAAUGUUCCUCCAACUGUGUUGUACCAGUUUUCCGAGCCAUGGCCUUUCUCAAUGUGGGGGAUUGAUGUGAUCGGCCCAAUAAACCCAAAGGCUUCCAAUGGGCAUAGAUUCAUUUUAGUGACCAUAGACUAUUUUUCAAAAUGGAUUGAAGCUACAUCCUUUGCAAGUGUCACUGCUCGCAAUGUUGUGAAGUUCAUCAAACGUGACAUAAUUGCUCGCUAUGGUGUCCCUGAAACGAUUAUCACUGACAACAAGACAAAUUUGAACAACAAGCUCAUUGAUGAGUUGUUUAGCGAGCUCAAGAUCAAGCAUCUGAAUUCAUCCCCUUAUCGCCCUCAAAUGAAUGGGGCUGUUGAAGCGGCCAAUAAGAAUAUUAAGAAGAUCUUGGCUAAGACAGUCGAGAAUUAUCGAGACUGGCAUGACAGAUUACCCUUCGCACUGAUGACGUAUCGGACAUCGAUUCGUACUUCUACCGGGGCAACUCCUUUUGCUCUGGUAUACGACAUUGAGGCAGUUUUGCCUGUGGAAGUGGAGAUUCCUUCCUUGAGAGUAUUAUCCCAAGUGGAAUUAUCUGAGGCAGAAUGGUCGCAACAAAGAUUUGAACAGUUGAACUUGAUCGAUGAGAAAAGACUGAAGGCUCUCUGCCAUGGCCAAGCAUAUCAACAGAGAGUAGCCAGAUCUUUCAACCGAGAGGUGCGGCCGAGACAUUUCGAGGUAAAUGAUCUUGUUUUAAGGAAGCUGUUGCCAAUUUUUCUAGAUCCUGGGGGGAAGUUUGCUCCAAACUACAGUGGCCCAUAUGUGGUAAAGAAGGUACUUCAUGGCGGUGCUUUGAUUUUGGCAGAAAUGGAUGGUCGUGUGUUUUCUACUCCAGUUAAUUCAGAUGUUGUCAAGAAGUAUUACCCAUGAUAGAAUUUGCCAUGUCAUGUUUUGAAUUGCAAACAUUUUAUGAUGAAUAAAUUGCCUCAUUGAGUUGCAAAUUCAAUUGUCUAAACUUGUUGCAAAUCUUGCAUUUUUCUUCCUUGAUGAAUUGUGUGAGAUGAAUUGAAUGUGUCAAAUGGGAUACUUUGGAAUGAUAAAAGGCAAACCCUAUUCCAUACACUGACCCCCAGUGAGUUGUGUGAAAAAUUCCAUGCCCACAAGGAAGAGGGUGAUCUCGCAAAGGGUACAUCAACCAAGAUGAUGAGAGGCAGUUUCUUCUACUACCUGAAACACUACAGGUAAAUCCAUUGUUCAACCCUUUGAACCCACACACAUGAAGAGCUUUUUAAAUUAUCCCUGUCAAGAAUCGUCUCAUACUGGGACAAGAUUUAAAAUGAAUGAUAUGAAUUUUCUUACUCACACUUGCAUCAAUCUUCGAGUAUUGCUUUUACAGUAUGACUUGUACGAUAAUUUAAAGUGCCUUAGGACGACGAAGAGUAGUUCUUUCUCUAUCCUAUACACUUUAUCCAUUGCAUAGCCCCAUUGAGCCAAAGAAUUCAUUUCACAUUAAACCCAGUUGGUGAUCAUCCCCCUCACUAGGGCAAGGCAAGAAAAAACCAAACCACUCAAGUAGCAUGAUUUACAAUGCUGAUAUAAAUGGAGACUUUGUCAAAAAAAAAAAAAAGUGCAAAAGUGGGGCAUGAAAAAGCAGUGUGCCUGGUAAAAGCGAGGCCAAUGCCCAAAGAAAAAAUCAAACACUUGAUGAAUGGGUCGUAUCCCCAACAAGGUGGUACCAAAAAAAAAAACUCAAAUGUUGAGAUGUUGCAAUCAAUGGAGUUGUGAAGUGAAGAAAAUCUUCGACGAUGGGGAGGAAAAUUGUUGGAAAUGUCAAGAUGAUCACCAACUUUGACCCCAUAAACACCUUUUGAGCCAAAUGAUUAUUUCAUUUCUCAAUCCAUAAACCCAACCUACGUUACGUCCCUUACAAAGUCUCUUCAGAUUAGGGCAUUUGAAUUAACGUAAAAGUUCAUACGUUUAGAAGCAUCGCUUGAAGAAGUGCGAGUAAGAUAAUUUCUGCUUCAUUUCUCAUGUUUCUUGGUUUGUAAACCCCAAGAUGAUUAUGAAAUAUCAUUCAUUUUUUAUUAGCCUCGACUCAAAGAGUCUCCUUUGCUAAGCCGUGGACCAAACCAGCGUUGCAGUCCUUCUUAAAGACCUCUCAGAUUGGUGAGAUCGUACCACUUGCGAAAUUGCUCAGACCCUUGUUUGGCAUGAUGAUGGUGAGAUAGAGUGAUUGAUAAAAUCCUGCAUCAAAGGUUAGGAUGAAAUUGCCAUGAGGAUGAGAGAAAAAGUCCUUUCAGACCAAAGGAUCCCUCAUUUGACACAUUCAUGACACUCAUGUGUUCAGAAUGGAAAUUAGGUGAUGCAAGAUUAAUGAAAAUUAUCAUGAACCUCCAUUAAAUUGAUGCAUGUUUAUGAUUACCAAUGCAUGUUGUCUCUCCUACGACCAUGUUUUGCAGGAGACAUAUCCCUGAAGAUCGGAGAUGUUACCAGGUAAGUAUAUCUCUAUCCAUACCUUGAAUAUUUGUCAUCACACAGGUAUUCCCUUUUAAACAUACCGACACUCGAUUGAGUUGUCCCCCAAAAAUUUCUCUCCAGAUUCAAUCUGAUUAAGGCGACCGAAGAAUGGUUCGGGUCCUGGUCAGUUGAUCUCUGUUCGCAAGGUUGGGCGACCGAAGAAUGGUUCGGGUCCUAGCCAAGCAAAACCUCGUUUAGGCGACCGUAGAAUGGUACGGGUCCUCGACAAUACCUAUUCCCUAUUUUAAGCGACCGUAGAAUGGUACGGGUCCUAGAAAGUGAAUCCCCGUUUAGGCGACCGUAGAAUGGUACGGGUCCUAGACAAAACCUAUUUCCCUAUUCAGGCGACCGUAGAAUGGUACGGGUCUUGGAAGGUAAAUCCCCAUUUAGGCGACCGUAGAAUGUUAUGGGUCCUAGACACAACCAAACAAUGUCAUACUGGGCAACCAUAGAAUGGUACGAGUCCUAGGAAGCAGUCUCUUUGCAAAACCAUGUUACUAUUCUGGGCGACCGUAGAAUGGUACGAGUCUUGGACAUGUAACACCAACUAUCUUGAAUCACUCUACCCUCCUUGAAGGUAAGUCAUUCCAGGUAAGUCUUUUAUCAUCUGCAUUAGUAUUUCCAUGCAUCAUAUAAAUUGCAUUAAAAAAUGGAAUUCAUUUUCCGACAAAAAAAAAAUCAUCCAUUGCAUACACAUAACCAAAAUUUAGGUUUCAAAUUAUCUUUGAAUGCAACCUCUUCGAGCUCACCUUCAAAGAGGGGCAGCUGUUGACACCUAAAUUUUGACGAUUUAGUUUAUUUAUUUAUUACAUAAGAAAUUAGGGGUUAAUUUUAUUAAUUGCAUAGUAUAUAGAUUUAUAUUUGCAUUUAUUUUGUUAUUGGCAUUUUACUUAUUGGACCAGUGCGAACGGGUUCAAAUUAGUUGGACUAAGCCCACAAAGCGAGCUGGUUGGCCCAAGCCCAUGUUUUUUAAUUAUCUCGUGAAAAAUAAAAAAAAUUUGAAAUUUUUCCGGGAUAUGAAUAUUUUGGAUAAGAGCACAUGUGUGAAAAAAUAUUGCGAUUUAUCUUUGCGAGAUUUGGAUUUCGAGAAAAUAUUCAUCGUAAUCUUAAUUUUUUAUCAAUAGUGAUCGGUUGGUGAAAAUGUAUUGCGGAUGUAGAUUUGAAGGGGAAAUCGAAAACUUAUCUCUUACCCCCUAUAAAAGCAACCGUGUACGAGGACCCUACGGUGGCUUCUCUUGGUAAAAAAAAAAUCAAGUAAAAAGAGAGAGAAAGGUUUUCUUCCUCGUCCAUCUUCAACAAAAAGAGGGCUUUUUCUCUUUUCUUUUUUCCUGACAAGCUGCAGGGAAAAGGAAAAGUCAGAGAGAGCAUUGUCAUGAGAGAGAGAGUGACAGGUGAAAUCAGAGAAAAGACCUACUGUUUAUCUUCUCCAGAAGUUCUGUGCAUCCGACUCCUGUACCGUCGGUUCCUGCGCCGACGGUCUCCGAGCAGCAACGCCGCCGCCUCGCCCCACCGACGCCGCACCAGAUCCGCCUCGCUCCGAAGCCCACCGCACCUCCGCACGAGCACCACCGUGAUCUGCGGACUCGACGCCAGCAGUCCGACAACCGGGUCUCAGACUGCUCGGCACUCGCCGCGCCUUAGCCAGCGCGACUCCGUCCCUGCAGCAACUGAUGCCGCUGCGUCUCUGCACCCGCGAGUUCACCGCCGACGCCCGCGACAUCGCCAGCCACUGUCUCCUGCAGCUCUGCCCGAACGACGACACCGGAGCCCCGCUGUUCCCGAUCCGCGCAACCCAACGCCACCGAACCGCACCUGUUCAGAGCCCGACUUGCUGCUGACCCAUGACGCCAAGAUCAGGUCCGAGCUCCCACACGCCCGAGUGACGACCAACCGCGCUCGCAUCACCGUCCCAGGGCCUGCUCCUCUGCCCAGCUCCAGCUGUGACGCCUCUACCCGCAAGUUUGCUUGCCGCCGAUUCCCCUCGCCUGCCCGGAGCUCCGAUUGUGACGCCCUCCGACGAUCAGAACCCGCUGCCCAGAUAUAAGCCGCACGAGCAAGCCGUGGUUGAAGAAAGCAAGAAAAAAAAAAGGAUUAGGUAGUCCUUUUAUUUAUUUAUUUAUUUAUUGUUUAUUUAUCUUAUUUAUUUUCUCCUAUAUGUUGUUUUUAGUGGGAUUGUUCCUUAAAUAUGUGACUGAUAUUCCAAACAUGAAAAUCCUCCUCAAGCAAGGGAUUGAUAGUCCGAUUUUCGCGCCCGAAAUCCGACUCGCAAUCCCUUAUAAAAAUCGACAAUCCAAUCUCAAGCCCGAGAUUUGAUUCGCGAUUUAAAAUUAAAAUUGGUCAACCCGAUCUCAUGCGCGAGAUACGGUUCGCCAAUUUUUGGAUAUCAAUAUUGUCUUGUUUGAUUUGAUAUCGUGUGUUUGGAUCAAUUUUAUUUUCAUAAGAGAAAAAAUCAAAAAAAAAAUUCAAAUUAGGAUUAAGUAUGUUUUAGAAUAUUCUUAGUCUUAGGGUUAAAAUCUCAAUCUGAUUUCGAAUUUUUUUUUAAAUAAGAAAAUCAAAAAGAAAAAUCCGAUUAAGGACUAGUUUUAGUUUAAAUUAGGAUUUAAUAUGACUUAAUCCCUAGUUUAAAUUAGAUAGAAUCUUAAUCUAGCUAGAUCAUUUGAAAUUUCAUAAAAUUUGUCUUAGGAUAAAUUAGUUGCAAUUUCUAGGAUAGAUUGCAUUUUUUUUAAUAAAAAAUGUCAUAUGCAUAUGUCAUGUAGAAUUAGGGCAUUCUUUGCACGUCAUUGCAUGCUAAGAUUACAUAUUAUAGGUUUAGAUAAUUUCUCCUAAAUAGAUUGCAUGCUUAUUAGGAAAAUAAAAAUCAUGUGCACGUCAUAUAGAAUUAGUUUCAUACAAUGCAUGUCAUUUAGUGAUUUUUGUUAGGUGCAUUUAAUUAGAAAUUUCCCGUCAUUAGAAUUAGGUCAUUAGAUUAAUUUAGAUUACAUAUUUAGAUGUUGCAUUUCUUUAAUUUCGAAUCUCAUAGAAAAUACAAAAAAAAAUUAUUUAGAAUAAAUCAUCUCAUGCUUAGUUAUGUCAUAUUGCUUAGGUCAUAUAGCUAAGUCAUGUUGCCAUGUCAUAUCAUUUCAUGUUAAAUCAGUGGCAUGCAUUGCAUAUUGCAUGAUUUUCAUUAAUUAAGUGAAAACAAAACAAAAAAAUUGCGUGUUAAUUAGAAAUCAUAUUUAUGACUGCUGAUGUGAAUUCUAAAUUAACAUUGCAAAUGUUUUUGUUGCUUUGAGGUAAGUUCUGCAUCAUUUAUUCAUUUGCUUUCUUGAGUGUUAAAUUGAUGGUUUGCACACCUGCAUGGUCACCUCACAUGCUAGAAUUUAAAAUUAAUUCAAGCUGCCUGCAAAAACAUUUUUGAAAUUAAAAGAAUGGUACCGAAAGGGCGUUAGAGAAAUCUAACGUAACCAAGUCCCCGUACCCAUAAUCUCUGGUUCGUAGGAGUAAAGUAAAUCUCCAAUUAUUUUACUUGGGUUUCUAAUCGACCCAUCAAAAAAUAGAUUAGUGGCGACUUCUAAUUAAAAAUUUGCAUGUUAACAAUUCAAACCUAAGUCGCGAAUUGGUAUGGGCUUGGGAGAGCCCGAGUUAAGUUUAGGCUUAAUAAUCCAUUAGCCAAACCCUAGGUGGUUCAAACCCUAGGUGGUUCAAACCCGAAAAAAUUGGUCGCGACACUGUCCUUAUUUUUAAUGCACGAACCUCUUGUUUGCGGAGUUUUGGCCCUGGAUGCCCGGUUUACCUUUCUUUGGCUCUGCUCUUGAAACGCUUUUGAAACUUCUUCUACGUGUGCUUGGACGACAAUGACCUGACUUUAGAACCAGAAAAUAAAUACGAGGUUGGCAUGUGCUUUUUUCCCAUUCACAAAAUAAUGCCAAAGCUAGCAGAUCUUGCGGUUCAAAUCUAAUACAAGACCCCAAAAAAAAAAAAAUUAUCAUAAGAGUCAACGUGAAAAGAUCAAGAGCACUAGAAAUUUAAUUGAUUCGGUCCAAGUGUUGCUACUUGCAACCCAUCGGGAGAGCAAGUCAUAAAAAAACUCACUAUCAAUUCUAGAGUUACAAAGUUCAGAACAAUCAUCCAAAAAAUCAUAAAUUUAUUGUACGGCAAUCAAUUCAAUUCUAAACAUUUAAUUUGGUCAGUUUAACCCUAAAGUUUUAGACAAUUUGACAAUUUAGUCAUUCCGAUUAAUUUUGGUUUGAGAAAACUGACGCGAAUGGUUUUGCAAUUUUUUUCUCUUCUUUUUCCUAUUUCCCUCCGUCAAUUGCGAAGUAUCACCGAUGGCCAGCAGUGGUUGUCGGCCACAAGCUAGGGCCAACAAGGUUUGGGACACCCUCGUUGGCAAUAGUCCUCAUCAAAUUUGGGUAAGGGGUGGCUAGUGAGGGUGGCCCUCGCCAGAUCUAAUGAAGGUAACCCUUGCCUAUGGCCGGCAACCAAUGGAAGGAAUAAAAAUAAUUGAACGAAAAGAAAAGAAUUUUCAAAACAUAAAAUGAUUGUAAAAAUCCUCUAUAUUAGCACUGGUCAUGUCUUGUAGGAUUGCUGGCACUGAUUGGAUUGUUACGUUAGUAAUUUCAAGCCAAAACUAGUUUGAAGGACUAAAUUGACAAAUCAUCAAAAAGUUUAGGAGUAUAUUAAUUAAAUUUAAAAUUUUAGGAUUUAAUUGGCCGCAUUCUAGCAUUCUAGUAAGUUUAUAACUUUUUGGACAACUUUUCUUAUAGAGUCACAAUCAAUCACUCAAGCUCUUGCGUGUCUCCAAUAUUCCAAUGUACGAAUCCUCACAAGCCUAGUAAUUAUCACACCAAGUUUCGCAAGAAGCUAAAAAAAAACACCUCCGCCGUGUUCGUGUUCUCAAAAAGAAAAAAAGUCAAAAUCAGACUUUUAAACCCGAGAUCACGUCCAUACUGGAUGAUCAUUAGCGAAAUUAGUAGGCUAGGUGCCGCUCAGGGCGGGCAACUCGGCCACAAGCUGGCCGAUCACCUGGCCCAUGCCUAGUAAAUUUCAGCUACUAGGCUUAACCCGACCGCCAUCCCCGGCCUUUCGGUCUAUGUGCUGAGUCCCUUCUUUUAUCGCGCCACGAACGCCUUCUAACUUGUCAUGGACCUAACUCAAUCUUCAGGCUCCAAUGUAAACUCGGACUCAGCAAGAAUUUGAGCCACAAACUCAACAGGCCGGAUGGCUAGGUUCAGAUCAUGUCCGGUUAAUUCAGUUAAAUGAACAGUGAAAGCAGUUUCCUUCCUGUUCCAACCAACCCUGUCCCGCUCAUUUUUGUCCUGAUGAUCUUCAUGGACAAUACUAGGCAAGCGUUUUGCGGCUAGAUUGCAUGGCUUGUCCUUUCCAGGAGCUUCAGUCCAACACCCCCCCCCCCCCCUCAAUGAUCAUCAGAUCAUCCAGCGGUCCAAGCGUUCAUGCGAAACCACUUCUUGCUAACAAAAUCACAGAAAAUUUUGUUGAUUGACAAUAUGGGCGAAUGAAGGAGAUUUCGAUUGGAAAUGGUGUAAAUCUGCAAUGCAAUUAAUGCAAUGGAUUUCGCCAAAGCUCAGCUCAUUAUGCAUUAGGAAUUCAAGUUGAAUGACUUCAUCAAAAGUUAUCUCAGGUGUCAGGAAAUUGAAGUUCAGCAGAACUCAAAAGUGUGGUAACCGGAAGUGUGUGUGGUAACCGGAAGUGUAAUUUUUUUGGGGACGCAUCUUAAGCAUGUGAAACAAUCACUCUGCAGGGCGUAUAAGAAAGCAUGUAAAACAAACAGAUGAAUUUUGCAAAUGUGAAAGCACCAGCCCAUAUUCCUAUAAACAUACCAAAGUCCCCGAUUGUAUUUCUCAAUCCGAUGUCAAAAUCCUAUUAGGACAAGUCUGCACUGUCAUCAUUUUCUAUUUUACACAGAAUUGCCAGGCGUCACAGCAUAAGUGGCUCACCGUGGAAUAUGAUAUCGGUCGACAAAUAUAACAAGAUUCUUAGAAUGUCCUAGAAUAGCACUAAGUGAAGUUCACACGUUCUGACUCUGGUGGGCGUCUGGAGACCGUACGAUUGACCAACUUCUCAGCAAAAUGAGCUUCUCAAAAUGGAUCAGGUGCUUGCGGACACGGUACACAUGGAAAGUAUAUAAAGAUGCCGAUAGGGUAGUGGACAGAAAUGAUAACAAAAUCAACUUCCAGAAAUCCUGAUGCAGUAGCCACAAAUCAAUAUUCAGUUAGAUUGUAAAUCAAAAGUUUGACCAACUUUAGAUAAUUAGCACACAUGAUACAAGUAACAUAUUAUCCAUACUGCCAUAGGAAGUAGAAGCAAUGGUGAUCACCUGUGGAUUUGAGAUGAUUAUUCCCAUACCAUAAGCCAUCAUAUACAAGGUGGACUGAAGUGAACUUUGGGCACCUCCAACAAUGCAACGAUCAGAUUCUGGAACCUUAUCCUGCCAAAAACGAGGAAAGGGCCAGAACAGAAAGUGAUGUUUCAGGUAUGAGAAUUUGUGAACCACUGCAAGAAACUGUUUUUGUGUAGAACGGCAUCAAAGUAUCCCACCAAAAGUUAAAGCUAGUAAAUGUGAAUGAAACCAUUUGAAGAACGCACAGGGAGCUGAAGAAUGAGGAAGAAGAUGAACAAGGAAUAAACCCAUAAGACGAUAUACUAAAUGGUGAGUGAAGUUAACGAGUUGUGGGUUUGAUACCAAUUAAAAGGAUCCAAGCCAAAAGCUUAAACAAGUAGGUGAAAGAGAUCAAGCUAAACCUCAACCACAGAUACAUCAAGAAUGCUUGUGAUAUGUCUAGGCAAUGAGCGACCGGUGCUAUUCUUUUGAGUUAUAA